Molecule: long non-coding RNA, 52736 nt
Filed under: Capsicum annuum
Lineage: Eukaryota; Viridiplantae; Streptophyta; Magnoliopsida; Solanales; Solanaceae
Description: long non-coding RNA (CANN_LNC003649)
Source: RNAcentral
UUUUUUUUUUUGGUAGAACCAAUGAAAUAUUACACUACUAUACAAUAGCUUAAAUAUGUAUGCUACUUUUCCUACAGGAGACAAAGUAGAGUAAAUAGUUAGGACCAUUAAAUUAAAAAAUAUGUUAUUAUUUUUAAAUUAUUAUUAUUAUUUUUGUAAUCUUAAAACCACGUUCCUAAUUAAUUUCCCAGAAAGCCACGGAAACAACACAUUUACUUUUUAGUUACUAAUUUUUUUAGAUACAAGUCCUAUAAUAAAGGAGAAUCACAUUCACUAUUUUAAAGGUAGUUUAACUUUUUACCUUUUAAUAUUUAUAUUUCUUUUAUUUUUUUAAUUAUUUAAAACAAACAUAUCUCUGCAAAAUCUUAUUACUAAAUUUCAUUUUUCAAUUAUUGUUAAAGUCUUUAUUAAGUAAUUACAAAUUUAUUUAUGUAAAUAAAUAAUUAAUAAAUCAUAACUGUUAUUGAAAAGUCAAAUUAUAUUCAUGUUUCAUAUUCACAUUCCUAAUAAUCAUCUCACAAGCAUGAUUUUUUUAAAAAAAGAAAUUCAUACAAGUGCGUAAAUACAUCCAUUAGAGGAGUUAAUUGUGGAAAUAAAAAAACUACUAUUUAAUAUUUAAAAUAAUUUAUUUUUAAAAAAUUAAAUUAAUAAAUUAAGACAAUAAUGUGUUUUAAACAUCACAUGUAUGGCACACGUAUACCCACCCACGUUUUCUACUAAGCCCACACUACUUCCAAAACAAAUAUAUCCACGUUUCCUAUUACUCUCCCCCCACAAUCACAAAAACCAACACACUUCUCCCCUACAAUCAGAAAAAUCACACACUUCUCCCCCACAAUCACCUAUUUAUUAUUUAUAAUAGUAAUUUUUAAAAACACAUUAAAAAAUUAAAAAUAUUACAGGACUUUUACAGUAACUAUGACAUUCAUACCGACAUACCCAACCUACAUUGUUUUAACAGUUUGUCAACUUCUUUUUAUACAAUUUUAACUUUUAAUAAACCACACCCCAUUUUCAAGUAAACUGUAAGAUUUCACAGAGCAUUCUUUUUCAAUGUUUAAAACUUUCUUCUAUUAAAACACCUAUUUAUUAUUUAUAAUAGUAAUUUUAAAAAAUACAUUAAAAAAUUAAAAAGAUUACAGAUUUUUUACAAAAAACGUGACAUUCAUACCCAUAUACUCACGUUUUCCACACUGUUUUAACAAUUUGUAACUUCUUUUUAUACAAUUUUAAUUUUUAAUAAAUCACAUUCCCUCUUUUCUUGCAAACUGCAAAAUAAGUUUUUAUGCAGAAUGUUUAAAACUUCUCCUAUAAGUACAAUCCAAUACAUAUAAAUUUUUCUAAACUAAAAACACAGCUUCUAAAACAUGACAAGAGUUGAUUAUAUUAGUGAAAUUUUAAAUUACAAAAUGGAUUGGAACUUCAAAGUAAGGGUUGUACGUAUGUGGCAUGCUAUACCAAGAGACAAACCAAAUUUUCUUCUAUCAAUUGAGUUAGUGCUUCAAGAUGAAAAGGUAUUUCAAAUUAUUCAAUAAUUUUCUAUUUACUACACCAAUACUGAAUUAUUAAUCCUGAUUUUAAUUUCUCACUUAUUUAUUUGUAGGGAGAAAAAAAUCCAUGUAACAAUUUCACGAUCUGUUGUCCAUCGUUUCAGAGGAGAAAAAAAUGCAAUAAUUGAUUUUUUUUUGUAUAAAUAUGUCUAUCCUGCAGAUGUUAUCGGACAAGUUGUUUGUCAUGCUGAAAAACAAACUCAUCAGCACCGAAAUGGUACAACAAGUCAAUUUUUGAAUGUUGUUAUCGAAGAUGAUGAGUAAGAUUGUGAUUCAAUUACUAAUUUUUAAUAUUUUUCUACAAUCUUAAUUUCUAAUAUAUGGUUAUUAAUGCAGAAGGAAGACAAUUACAACAACAUUUUGGGGAGAGUUUGUUGAUAAAAUCAUGCCCCACUUGCACAAUUUAAUCGAUUAACCUGUCAUCGUAGUUAUACAGCUUGUAAGAGCGCAUAAAUUUCAAGCUAUAUCAACAAUCUAACUUACAUUUCAAAUAUCAUAUUCAGUUUUAAAAAAAUUACUGAUCUAACACUAUGUUUAAGUUCACGGGAGUAUAUUCUGUACAGAAUACAUGAAAUUCCUCCAAUCUUUGGAUUAAUCGUGACCUUCCCCAAGUUAAUGAUUUCAAAUCAAGGUUUUUGUUUUACACUAUAUUACUUUUAUGUCCAUACUAAAAUAAAAAUUACAUGUAUCAUUAAUAUAAAAAGUGUAGAUUAGGAACUGUGUCCGAAGCUACCCCUGAAAUGCUAAGUCAAGCAAUAUCUCAACGUAGUCUUUCUAUUUCUGAAGAAUUGACUGCUGAAACUAUACAACUUAAAACUGUUAAAGAAUUGCUUGAUUUUGUGCAGGUAAAAGUCUUUAUAUUAAUUUCACACUAUAUUUCAACAGGCUUACUUAUAUGCAACAUAUGACAAACUGUUUUAUCACAAUUUUUUUCAUUUUUACAGAUUGGACAUUUGUGGAUUCUUGGAAAAAUAGUGAAUUUGAAACUUAAAAACAAUUGGUCAUACCUAGUUUGCAUCAAAUGCCAUAAAAGUGUCGAAGAAAUUGCCAAAAAUACAUUUCACUGCAAGAAAUGUGGUCGUGAUUAUCAAAUAGCUACUCACAGGUUUGAGCUUAAUAUUAUUUGCUUAGCACUAAAAAUUUUAGGUAGAUUUUAUAUUUAAAUCGAAAAUGCUAUCAGGUAUAGGGUUCAGACUAAGGUGAUGGAUGAUACGGGGAUCGUCUCUUUAUUCCUUUGGGACAACGAAGCAAUCACACUCAUUGAAAAAUUUGCUUCUGAAUUAAAAGAUUGUCCAUUAGAGGUAUAUUAUUUUUUAACAUUAUUUUAUGAAUUCUAAUACUAAUAAAAUUAAUAUCAUAUUAGAUUUUUGAUUCUCCGUACGAGUGUUCCUAUCCGAUCGAAUUGGAUGUUCUUCUUGAUAGAAUCAUCAUGUUUAGAGUGAAUGUUAAACAAGAAAAUAUUGAAUCACGUGAUCGAGUCUAUGAAGUUGCGAAGAUCAGUGAUGACGAAGAACUGAUAAAUCAAUACAAGAAGUCAACGAAAGAAGAUGUUUUCACUGUAUGUAUGAUUUACUAGCAAAAAGAGUCAUUUAUAGUAGCAUGUUAAUUUUAUCACUAAAAGAGGUGUUUAAUCCUUUUUAUUUAUAAAAAUAGGAAGUUUAUUUCAAUGUUGAAGAAGGCUCAGAUGCUAAGAAGGUAUUCAACUUUCAAUGAUUUAAAAAUAAAAAUUGAUAAUGGAUAUUGCUAUAUUUAUGUAUUUUUUAAAUAAACCUUUACUAUUCUCUUUUUUGUCUUAGAAUUCCGUGUAUGAUAACGAGAAGAUCUCUCCUAAAAAAAUGUAUAUUUCAAAAAGAGGCAGACCAAAAAGUGAAGGACCUAUAUCAGAAGUUACUGAUGAUGUUGACCAACUAUCCAGUAACAAGGCCAAGAAGGUUAUUAAGAAGGAGAAGAAUCCCUAAAAAAGUGAACGUGAUGAUUUUCCUUUAAAAGCUUAGCUACAUUUUUAAAAUUUUUAGCAAUCUAGACUUAAGCAUGAUGCUGAAUUAGUUUUAGUUUUGUGUUUUGUUUUAUUUCUUUUAAAAAUCAUGACUCUAUUAUAUCAAAGUUUUUCAUUUCAUAUGUUAAAACUGUGUUUUAAUAUUAGUUAAUUUACUGUAUGAAUCAAAUUUUUAUAUUUUUCAUGUAUUUGUAAAGUUUAUACAUCCGCAUCAGUUUUUCUUUUAAGACUGCAACUAAAUGAGGUCCAACAUUUAUGUGUGUAGAAAUUUAGCAUAAUAACAUCAGUAAGAUCAGACAAAACAGGCUGAUCAUAAAGCAUGAAACAAGAGUCGAGUGAAAUAGAGAGAAAUAAAAUACCAAGUUGUAGAAUCGUUGUUUUGAGAACCCACUAUCAACAACAUAGACAAUACCCUGAAGAAAAAGAAAAUUUUCAACCCAGGAACAUGAUAAAGCCAAACUAAUAACAUGUAUGUCAUAGUAUUUAAUUCAUAUGACAAUUACAAUUUAUAGCAGUAUAAGUUAUUUUUUUUGUUCCCUUCCUUUUUUUAAUGGGAAAAUCUGUCAUUUCAAAUUCCAAAGCUCAAAUAAUAACGGAUUUGUCCUUUACCUUUCUCCACUUAAAUGAUGGAUACAACUUUUUGAUUAUCUUACCAGAAAAAAAGAAUACUUAAUUUUUACAAUGUAAAAAUGAUACUUAUCACUUCUCCCACAAGUUUCUAUCAAUAUAUACUCUUCUCCACUUGAAUUAUGAUUACCACUUUUUUGCUCCUUUUAUCAACAAAAAAAUAAUUAUUUUUCAAGGCAAAAAUGAUACUUAUCACUGUCCCCGCCUCACUUCAUCAAAAAAUUUGUCCAAAAUUGUAAUGUCCAUAUAACUAAACAUGCUUCUAAAGGUAGCAUCCUGCUAGGGGGAAGGAACUGAUGCCAUAGGUCUCUAACUUCAUUAUCAGCUAGAAGGUCAGAUUUUUCAUUACUUUUCAUUACUGUCAAAAUAAGUUGCGUAAAUUCUUUCACUUGGCAGUCUGUAUACCUGGACAAAAAUCAUCAAACAAUGAGAAACAAUUUAUACAAGUCAGAAUCUGUCAUUUCUUGAUCGUACAACAUAUAUGCUAGGAGCACAACUAAAAAUGUACAAGAAUAUUAAUAUUAAUCGUAAUAGUAAUAUUACUGUCAUUUACUAUAUGAGAUAAAUGAUAGAUGGAAUGAUUCUGAGGCGCAUUAGGAAUUGGAAUCAAUAGACCAAAUAAAAAAAUGACUAUAGACUAGGAGGAGGAAGUGACAGAAUCCAAAAAUCGCUUACACACUAUUCAAGUAUUACUAACCGUAGAACUAAUCCUCUAGGUGGAAUUGUGUGGACUAUGCAAGCAAUCAAUGCCUUUCCAUCAAUGAGAUAACCUCUACUGAUUUACUAACUGCAUAUGUAUUAUGUCCUUCAGCAACACAACUUUCUAUCAAAAUAGUGUCUGACAAAGUACCUCUCAUUGACUCAGUUGAAUUAUGCACAUUAUUUAAAACUUCGACUGAUGAUUUAUCAGCAUUCGAACUAAAUUCUUCCAUAUGCAGCUCUUGAGACUCUAACAUGUUAUUAGCUGAAGAGUUGACAUUGUUCACCUACAGUACUGUCAAUUUGUUCAACAUAAGUCUACUUAUUCACAUCGUUUAUCGACCCACUCCCUAAAAAAAUACAAAUACAAGUAGCAACCAAAAAAAGAAACAACUUCCCUUUUAGAGGAGUACCUCUGUCUCAUUAUUAUGUCCAGGAGAAUUCAAUCUUAAAGCACCAUUGACUUGCGAAGAAAUCUGAUGCAAAGACUGUUGUGUCUGCACACUCGAGAGGUAAUUCUUAUCCAUAAAUUGAAGUUCCUACAAAAGUAUGGUGGAUCAAAAAUCUAGGCAUACAAAAUAGGAGAAGAAUUGCAGGUAACUGUAAGCAAUAAAUUCGGUUGCUUAACCUGUUCCUCUUUACUUGAAGCUGGAACCCUGUAUCCUGCAUUUCAAUUCCUUGGUUUACAUUUACAUCACUGUAAUCUGAAUGAAGAGUUUGUCCAUUGAUAGUUGUUUUAUGAUUAUACUGAAAAUUCGAUCUUUGUAAGGUUGACUGAGGUUGUAUGGAGUACUGAUUGUGACUAGAGAUCUGGGAACCCUCUGGUGCAGCCUAGAAAAUCACAAGAUUAGCAAUUAACCUUUAUUAAGCAAAAGUAACGAGGAGAACUAGACCAAAAUUCUUUACUUUACCUGUUGAUUUGACAAAAAUAUAUAUUGAGUGAAAAUGUCCAACAUGAGACUAAGGAGCAUGGGAUGGUAAAGGAGGAAUUCCCUAUUGAUGCAUUACAUAUGGAUGCAGAGCCACAAUUUAUCCGGGUGGAAGGUAGGUUGUCAUCCCAAGCAAGGAUGAAGGAGCAAUAGGCAUACCAUGUACAUGAUCCAACUGGUGGAAUCCUAGAAAAGAGAAUGUUGUGAGCACAGAAACAAGGACAAUCAAAGGAGAAUUAGAACAAUGCAUUUUCCUUCUCUUUUUUAUUUUCUAUAUGAGGAUUUGGAGGGGGUGUGCGCGUGUGUGUGGGGGAGAGGGAAGUCAUUCCUAAUCAUUUAGUGUCAUUACAUCCAUAGUUAGCCACAGCUCUAGAAUUGUCUAAAAGGUACAUAAUUGACGAUAACCAUCCAUAAUAAGAGCCAGUCGGCUGAAUUUUACUGAUCAUAUAAAAGUUAUUUAUCUAUAGAUAAAGGUUCAAUUUUGAAGCUCAAAUUAUCAUCUCUAUUCUUACUUGGAAGUUGAAAAUAUCUCAAAUUAUCCUAUUGUCAUUUUUCACAAUUAAAUAUUGUUGAUUGCAACCUCAAUAAACACCAACCUCUAAGAUGCUAUAACCACUGUCAUAUUUUCUACUUUGGACUAAGCAACUACUAAGCUUUUUGUCAUAGAUAUUUGUCAUUUUGAUAUGGAUACAUCAGUAAUAUUAGCAACGAUGUAAGUAAUAUAUUCUAGGCCCAUUCUAAAUAAUUACCGUUAUAAGUAUGUAGACAUUACCAUAAGUAAGAACAAUGACAUGUUGUUUUUCAUGUACUUAUAUUUUUUUCAUAAAUUUUAACUAUUAUAUUAAACUUAUUAUUAUUACCCUCUAAGUGAACUCUUAUGAAACUGAUGUACCGAUAGUGCAAAAUCAAACUUUAUUCAUUAAAAGUUAAAAAAUGACAGUUACAUAGUAAUAAACUAUUUUGAAAGUGUCAAUAACAGUUGAUAUUUCAGAUUACUUAUGGUUCCUCUGUCAAAAUUAUCACCACAUUUCAUCUUUCUUUUAAAAUCUUUCAAAUUUGCAUAUUAAAUCAAAAUUUUGAAGUCCUUCUACUUGAAAAAUAAAAAGAAAUCUGUUUCAGCACUAAGAAGAUGCAACAUACAGAAUUAAAAAUGACACAGACAAAGUAAUUUUAAUAAAGGUAUCAUCUUUGAUUACCAUUCACAUCUCUAAUUUAUAUGCAUCAUCAAAAAUUAUUUUAAUAUUGCUCGAAAUAAUUGAUUUUUUCUUAAGGGAUGAACUAAAAUAACAUACAAAUUUCUUCUAUAGGAAAAGGUGAACCCUCAAAGUACAGAAAUCAUUCUGCUAAGAGUGAAGAAAUACAAGCACCAUUGACUGAUAUAACAAAUGGUGAACGACAAAAUUCCUGAUUUAAUAUAAUUUAAAACUUACUUUCUAAUACUCUUCUUCUAUAGGUAUGCAUGGUUACAACAUAUUACCUGAUCUAAAUGUAUUACCUGAAGGUAAUACAACUUUAUUAGUUCUUUAAAUUUUUCAUAUGAACUAGAUCCUAAGUUAAAACUUUGUUACUUCAAUAUAAUUUUGCAAAUAAUAUAGAAAUAUAAUUUAUUUAAUUUGUAGAUGUACAAACACAUAAUUCUCUGCCAGAUUUAAAUGAAACUCCAAUAAUGGAAAGUAAGUAUUUUAAGUUCUCGUGAGUUAUCAGUUAAAAAUAAUAUACACUGCACUAUACAGACAGCUAAUUAGCGUAUCAUUCUUAUUAAAAACAUAGGCAAUAAUAAACAACACUGUCGUACAAGGUAUGUUCCUAAAAAAUAUUUAUUUAUCUUUAAAAAUUACAUUAUAUUAGAAAAGAGUUUUUGAAUCAACAAUCUUUAGUUUACAAAAAGAUUAUUACAUUUACAUCUAUAUACAAUCAUAAAUUUAUAUACAUAACAGAACAACUUCAACAUAACAUAGAAGAUGAAGAAGAAGAAGAAGAGUAUCUAGGUAUGACAAUCAUACUUUGCUUACUUCUCUUACUAAUUAGAUAUAAAACUAUCUUGAUAAAUAUAAAUAAAUAUCAAAAAUUCAAACAUAUUAAUUGAUUUUGCCAUCACUUUUUAUAGAUGUUGAUGUUGAAUGUGGCGACAUUUGCAUUGAAGGCUCUUCUGAAAAACUCUUCAUUUAAUAUUAAAAUAAUUUGAUCAUUUAAACCUAUAAUGUUAUGUCUUUAACUAUAUGUACUUGCAAUUAUAGAAUAUUGGAAUAUAGGAGAUGCUACAUAUGAAUGUGGGCAUUGUGAAGCUAUUUUUUGGUAUGAAGAAAGAACACACAAGCAUUAUAAAUCAAAAAAAAUAAUUUUCACAUUGUGCUAUCAACAAGGAAAAAUAAAGCUUCCAUACCUCAAGAAGCCUCCUCAAAUUUUGGAACAACUAUUGUUUGGAUCAGGUUAGAGAAUCAUAGGUUUUAAUAUCACCAUAUUCAUGUCUACCUGUAUUAACCUUCUUCAUUAUUAAUUUUUUUUUACUAUAGGUCCUAAAUGUAGUCAUUUUAGAGAAAAAAUAAGGAGUUAUAACUCUAUGUUCUCAUUUACAUCAAUAGGAGAAAAGAUGGAUGCCUCAAUCAAUCAGACACGAGGGCCAAGAACAUUCAGAUUAUUUGGACAAAAUUAAACAUUCAGAUUAUUUGGACAAAAUUAUCAUCAAAUUGGUAGCUUACUACCUCCUGAAGGAUCCAUUCCAAAAUUUGCACAGCUGUAUAUUUAUGAUAUAGAAAAUGAAGUUUCAAAUAGAAUUAAUACAGUCGGGUAAGUAUUGUAACAUCAUUAUAUAAUCUCAUGAAAUUAAAAAGUACUUUAAAGAUCUUACUAAUAUAAUAUAUCUUUUUUUAGAAGAUAAAAUUUUUAUAUUAUAUGUCUUUUGUAGUCGUGGACGGGAUGUUAAUAAGCUUCAUGUUUAAAUUGUUGCUGAUCUAAAACAAAUGCUUGACGAUAAUAAUAUGUUGGUCAAGACUUUUAGAAUGGUGAGAGAUAGAUUCCAAAAAAAUGACAGCUUCAAUGUGAAGUUGAAACUAAUAGGAAUAAGAGCUACGGAUGGUAGAAGAUACAACCUACCAACAAUAUCCGAAGUAGCUACUUAGGUGGUUGGAGAUAUUAAUGUUUCUAGAUCUAACCAUGAUAUCAUUAUAGAAACACAAUCUGGACAGCUGCAAAGGAUCAAUGAACUGAAUGUUGCAUACUUAGGCCUACAAUAUCCUUUACUUUUUCCUUAUGGUGAAGAUGGGUAUAGAAAGGACAUUCCUUUAAGUUCAGGUGAUAAGGGAAGGCAACGUGUUAGUAUGCGUGAAUUUUUUUCUUACAGAAUUCAAGAAAAAAAAAAGAAAAGUUCCUACCAUUGUGGUUUCAAGAAGAUUAUUUCAGCAAUUUUUAGUUGAUGCCUAUACAAUGAUGGAAUCUUCUCGGCUGAAGUUUAUUCGGACUCAUCAAAAAUAAUUUAGAGUUGAGUUUUAUAAGAUCCUAUCAGAUGCAAUUUUACAUGGAGACGUUGAUCCUUCAUCGCAAGGUAAAAGAGUAUUUUUACCAUCAAGUUUCACAGGAGGUGCACGAUAUAUGCUUUAGAAUUAUCAAGAUGCUAUGACAAUAUGCAAAUGGGCUGGAUAUCCUGACCUUUUUAUCACAUUUACUUGCAAUCCUAAGUGGCCAGAGAUUACUAGAUUUGUAGGAAGAAGUAGGAUAUUUAAAAUUAAAUUGGAUCACUUGAUAAAGAAUUUGAAGGCCAAUCAAGUAUUUGAAAAAGUAAAAAUAGGUUUGUCAUAUUUACUAUUUUAUUUGAAUAUACAUUAGGACACUCAUAAAUCAUUAUAUAUAUCAAUUUAUUUAUAAUAAACUUACUUGAUUUAUAAUGUAGUGAUAUAUACCAUUGAGUUCCAAAAAAGAGGAUUGCCUCAUGCCCAUAUAUUGCUUUUUCUUCAUGAGAGUCAUAAAUUUUCUUGUGCAUCAGAUAUUGAUCGAAUAAUUUCAACAGAAAUAUCAAAUAAAGUCAAUGAUCCUCAUUAUUAUGAUGCUGUGAAAAAUAUGAUGAUUCAUGGCCCAUGUGAUUCUACUGACAAAUUUUCACUGUGCAUGCAGAAUGGUAAAUGUACAAAGCACUUUCCUAAAAAGUUUGUUCACACAACAACAGUUGAUGAAGAAGGGUAUCCUGUUUACAGAAGAAGGGAUAAUGGUAAAACCAUUGAGAAAAGUGGCAUUCAUUUGGAUAGCAGAUAUGUGGUUCCACACAAUCGCAAGUUGUUGUUAACAUAUGGUGCUCACAUUAAUGUGGAAUAGUGCAACCAAUCAAGAUCUAUUAAAUAUUUAUUCAAGUAUGUCAAUAAAGGAUAUGACCGUGCAAAUGCUGUUUUUUCACAAAAUACACAUGUUGAUGGUUCAUCAACUGUUGAUGAAAUCAACAUGUAUUAUGAUUGUCGCUACAUAUCACCAUGUGAAGUUGCUUGAAGAAUAUUUAAAUUUUCAAUUUACCAUAGAGAACCACCAGUGGAAAGACUAUCAUUCCAUCUUGAAGAUGAACAAUUGUGUCUUUUUUUCUGAUGAGGAUCCAAUUGAAAAUGCUAUCAAUAGAUCAGCUGUUAGGAAAUCUCAAUUUUUAAGUUGGUUUGAGGCUAACAAGAAGUUUUCGAAAGCAAGAGAUUUGACUUACGCAGAAUUCCCUCUUAAAUUUUUGUGGGACAGAAGUUUAAAAAAAUGAAAAAGUAGAAAAAAUUCUGCAUUUUCUAUUGGGAGGAUCUUCUUUGUUACUCCAGGGAGUGGAGAUAUAUUAUCUCAGGUUGUUAUUUAAUGUAAUUAAAGGGCCAACUUCCUAUGCAGAACUUAGAAGAAUCAACAGCAAUGACCAUGCUACUUUUAGAGAUGCAUGUUAUGCACUUGGUUUGUUGGAUGACGACAAAGAAUACAUCGAUGCUAUAAAGGAGGCAAGUACUUGGGGAAUGCCAUCUUAUCUUCAACAAUUGUUCGUCAUGUUAUUGAUAGCUAAUUCAAUGUCACGACCUAAAGUUGUUUGGCAAACAUCAUGGCUGCUACUUUCAGAAGAUAUCCUUUGUGAACAAAGAACAUUACUGGAUAACCCAGGUACAAAUAAUAUAAUUGAAUAAUAACAAAAAUAUUUUUAAAUUAUUUCUAUUUAUAAUUCAAGUAUAUUUAUUUAAUUGCUAUACAGAUUAAACAAGAAAUCCAUAUUAAUAUCUGAAACAGUUUUAUUACUACUUUAUUUCAUUGGGUUUUCUCACUUCUAAACAAUAAAUUAUUUUAAUAAUAUUAGAAUCAUAUAUUUUAACAUAUAUCUAUAAAUGCAUAUUUCACUUCGGAUUUACAGUAAUUUGUGUAGUUCACUUAUCCAUCAUAUAUAAUGGUAUUCUACGAAAAAUUAAUAAACUUUAGCAAACAUCCAUAAAUUACAUAUAAAUAAAACUAUUUAAUUGACUUAUAUACAUGAUUAUGUGCUUUAUUUUUUAUUAUUAUAAUAUUUUUGUCAUUCAGAAUCAAAUCUAACAGAUGAUGAACUGAGAAAUCGCUGCUUACAAAAGUUGAACAAGAUUUUAAGAAGUUGUGGAAAAAGUUUUAAUGAAUUUUCAACAAUAUCAAAAUCAUGUUAUGAUCAUAAAGAAGUUGAUCGUACCAAUACACUCAUCAAUGAGGAAUUACGCUAUAAUAGACGUAAUUUGGCACAAGAACAUCAACAACUAUUAAUGCAAUUAACAGUUGAGCAGAAGUAUGCAUAUGAUAAAAUCAUGACUGCAGUGAACAAAGACAAAGGGGGAUAAUUCUUUUUAUAUGGUCACGGAGGAACAGGCAAAACUUUUCUUUGGAAAACAUUGUCUGCUGGCAUAUGCUCUAAAGGUGAUAUAGUACUAAAUAUUGCAUCAAGUGGUAUUGCAUCUCUGUUGUUACCAGGAGGAUGGACAACUCAUUCAAGAUUUGUGAUUCCUCUGACUAUAACUGAAGAUUUAACAUCAACAUUAAGCAAGGAAGUCCACUAGCUAAGUUGAUGGUUAAGGCAAAGUUAAUUAUUUGGGAUGAGGAACCAAUGAAGCAUAGGUACUGUUUUGAAGAUCUUGAUCAAACUUUAAGAGAUAUUCUAAGAUUUAAAGAUCCAUCAAAUUUAGAUCGGCCAUUUGGAGGAAAGACGAUUGUUUUUGGAGGAAAUUUUAGACAAAUCUUAUCGGUAAUUACUAAAGGUACUAGGCAAGAUAUUGUAAAUGCAACAAUAAAUUCUUCCUAUUUGUGGACGCACUGUCAUAUUCUAAAACUGACAAAGAAUAUAAGAUUUCAAGAUAGUCGAUUUGAUGCAGAUGUGACUGAGUUAAAAUAAUUUUCUGAUUGACUUUUGACAAUAGGUGAUGAAAGGGUGGAAUUUUCCACGGAUAACACUGAGAAAGUAAAAAUACCUGAAGAUAUUCUCAUAGAUAAUUGUGAUGAUUCAAUAUUUGAAAUUGUAGAAAGUACAUAUUUCAAUUAGUUGAAACAUUCUAAUGAUAUGAAAUACAUUCAAGAAAGAGCAAUUCUUGCACCUACUCUUCAAAUGGUGGAAUCGGUGAAUGAUUACAUGGUUUCUCUCAACUGUGGAUAGGAGAAGUCAUAUUUAAGUUUCGAUACAGUUUGCAUGUCUGAUCAUUCAUUUACAUCUUUAGGACAUGUGCAUACACCUGAAUUCGUAAAUAGUAUUAAAUGCUCAGGUAUUUCAAAUCACUCUAUCACUUUGAAGGUAGGUGUUCCUGUAAUGUUGUUAAGAAAUAUAGAUCAAUCAGCAGGUUUGUGUAAUGGCACAAGAUUAAUCAUCACAAGACUCGAAAAUCGGGUAAUUGAAGCGAAAGUGUUAUUAGGAAAAGAAUGUGGUAAUAAGGUUUUUAUUCCGAGAAUCUCACUUACUCCAUCUGAUUCACGAAUACCUUUUAAAUUCCAACGAAGGCAGUUUCCAGUGAUCGUAUCUUUUGCCAUGACCAUCAAUAAAAGUCAAGGUCAAUCGUUGUGUAGUGUGGGAUUAUAUUUGAAGAAGACUGUGUUUACUCAUGGACAAUUAUGUGUUGCCCUUUCUUGAGUAACAUCUAGAAAAAGGCUGAAGAUCUUAUGUUAUAAUGAAGAUGAGAAAAUAACAAAUGAAACUACAAAUGUAGUGUAUAAAGAAGUCCUCUCUAAUUUAUAGGUAACUAUUUUCUUCUACAUGUAAUCUACUUGGAUAUGUUUUGCUUUCCCUUUUAAAGUAAUAUGUUAUUAAGCUUUACUGUAUGAGUGUUUAAUUUCUGUUAUUUGUUAAAACUUGCACGUCUUUAAUAGAGAAAUGCAGAAAAAACACUUAUGAGGUCCUAAAAGCUCCAACAAUCACCUAAAGACGUUUACCUGGUAGACUCAGAAACACAAAAAAGACCAUCAAAUAGAGUAGGAAAGUACACAUCAGAAAGUUUGUGCUACAUCUCAGGAAAUCAAAAGUUCAGAGAGACGUACAUAUAAAGAAAGGAAGAGCAAAGAGAGGAGCUUACCUCAAAUUUGGAGAGUUGGUACACACAAUGUGUUGGUGAAGAGAUGUAGAAUAUCAUCUCAAAAAUGAAGCUUCACAACCUAGAAAACAAACAACACUUUGCAGCCGUGGUCAUAGAAGCUCUUAAUUUGCUCACUAAUGAAUCUUAAUGAUGUUCGUCUGCAAAAUAGAGAGAAUGAUUAUAUAUUUUUCAGUUAUUUAUUUCCAUCUCCUUGCAAUUAACACUCCUACUUUUCUUAACACAUGAUUAAAUAACUAAAUUGCAGUCAAGAGAACCUUCGACUUUGUCAUGAAAUUACGUCAAAGAAGUCUAUGGAUUUUACGUGCAUAGUUAGACAUUACACUACAAGUUUAAUAAAGUAAGUAAAUAAGGAAUACUUUCAUAGAUCAAAAUUUACAUAAACAAGGAUUACAAGAACUAAUUUCAGCUUAACAGAACAUACCACAAAUGGAAAAUACCCCAAGGUGGUUCCGAGAGCCGUAGAGAAUGGCAAUAGUUUCAGCUAUGCUCCCCCUGAAGCAAAUCAAGAAAACCAUUCAUUGUCUAAAUCAGUAAAGAUUCUUACUUUUGCAAUCUUAUCAAUAUAAAUAUAGAAUAAAAAUGAAGAGAAAAGUACUUUAAUCUAUUGGACGCAUUAAGACGGUUGGAGGUAAAUCUAUGACUGCACAAAAUAUGCUAAGUAAUCUGAUGUACCGAAAGCUGGCAGGUUAAUUUGAUAUCAAAAUAUGUCAGCAUGUUCAGACUUUCCUAAAUGACUAGCCGGAGAAGUAACACAGAAUCUCUGAGUGCAAAAAGAUAGUCGUCCACAACCAUGUGAGUGACAUGGACUAGAUACCCUUCUUGCUGACUAACAUAAAUAAGUGAGGACAAAAUGCCAAACCAUCAACAGUUGCAUAGGAAAGAAUUUCUACUAUUUACAGAGUUACAUUAGAAAAGAAAUAUAGAUGAUUAGUCCAUGCAAAGACAGGAGAUUUUAAGCUCACCAAUCAUCUCUUCUUUCAUCUUUUGUCGCUUCUCAUCGGCUAAUGGCUUUAAACGUAUCACACUUCUCCUAGCUUGGUCAUGUGAGGGUUCCAAUUCCAAGAUUUUUGUCAUGUCUACAAGAUUUUUAAAAACCAAAUAGAAUAAGAGCAGAAAAAACCAAAGUAGAACUCCAAACAACAACAACAUACCCAGUGUAAUCCCACAAGUUGGGUCUUGGAAGGGUAGUGUGUACACAAACCUUACCCCUAUAAGGUAGAGAGGUUAUUUCUGAUAUACAAAGUAGAACUUCAGUAAUUUAAUUAUUCACCAAUAACUUGAACCAUUUGAGUGGUGUGAAAUUAUUACGAGAGGCAAUGAGUAACAUACAAGCACUCUUUUUUUAAAUUAUUUUUUCCGAUAAGAGAGUGGGAACAAGGAGAAGGCGUAGGAGAGCCUAACUGGAAAACACAAGAUUUCCACAAAGUAGCCCCGUAAAUGCGAGUAUGGAUAUUACUUAUUUAGUGAUGCAGUUAAGAAGUACCAGUCACAAUGACAUUGUACCGAAUAAACAUGGUACAAAUUCAGAACCAGAUAUUUACCAGUAAUAACCUCAUCAAAGUGUUCAAGCUUUUCAUGAGCCUCUGGCUCUUCUAACCAGAGCCUUAAUAUAUGUAGGAUUUAGUUCUAAUGCUUUAGUGCAGUCCUUGGUUGUCUCUUCAUGUCUCCCCUGUAAAUGAAAAAUUAAUAUCGCUAUUAGAUACAACAAAAACUCACACAGAUAAACACAAUUGAUAUCUUACACGCUACAUGAGAAAAGUAUCAAACAAAGAUAUGGAAAAAACAAAGGAAAAUUGUGAAAAUUUUUCCUAAUAUGAGGUGAAAGUAGAUGUAAUAUCAUGUGUGCAAAUUGAAAUAUUUUUCAACUCGUGACCUAUACGUGUGCAAAGUAAACUUUCAAAUUUUUAUUUUUUUAAAUUACAGAAAAAUGGUGAGACGACAAUUAUUUCUGGUAUGCCGCUUACUGGGAAGCAAUACACAAAAGGAUAGGUACCACAUUCUUUCUCUAAGCUACACAUCUUCUCACCCCCUAACUUUCUCCGUUCCCAGUAACUCUAAUGUAAAACCACACAACCAAAUGCCAAACCAUCAACAGUUGCAUAGGCAAGAAUUUCUGCUAUUUACAGAGUUACAUUAGAAAAGAAAAUAUAGAUGAUUAGUUCAUGCAAAUACAUGAGAUUUUAAGCUCACCAAUCAUCUCUUCUUUCAUCUUUUGUCGCUUCUCAUCAGCUAAUGGCUUUAAACGUAUCACACUUCUCCUAGCUUGGUCAUGUGCGGGUUCCAAUUCCUAGAUUUUUGUCAUGUCUGCAAGAUUUUUAAAAACUAAAGGAAAUAAAAGCAAAAAAAUACCGAAGUAGAACCCCAAACAACAACAACAUACCCAGUGUAAUUCAAUUAGCUACUAACUAUUAUGAAAUUCUCAACAAUUAAUAAUAACAGUUAGUAGCAACAACUGGUGUAUCAAGAUCUAGAUAGAGAAUAUAAAUAGCAAAUUACCGCUUUUUUAUUGUCGCUAAAGACCAUUUUUGUUGGUGCUAACUGUUUUAAGAAAUUUUUAUGAUGCAACAUGCAAUUCCAUUGCCAAAACAGAUGUAAUAUUACAAGGAGUAUCAAUCCAAGCUAGCAAAAGUUGCAUGCAGACAGAAAGCAGCAUCCAUACUAAAGGAUGCACUCUACACUUUAAGUGCUAGAACUGUUGAUUUCUUACAGAAUUACUACUUCAAUCAUUAUCUUAACAAAUUUCUACUCCUCAUCAGUAUAGUUCUUAUCUUGUCCGCAUAUUCACUCGCAUCGUCAAGGUAAAAUUAUGGGUCGAUUCUAAGAUUAUCAAGAAAAUGGUUAGCUAUGACCUAUUUAGUGAUGAAUUAGUAAGGAAGUUCAUAACUAAUAAUUUUAGUUUUUUUGGAGUGAUGAGUCAUAGACCAAUCCGCUUAACAUGUAGGUUGGGAUAUACGUUGCAUUUUGAUUCAACUCGUGACCAAUACGUGUGCAAAGUAAACUUUUAAAUUUUUAUUUUUUAAAAUUGAAGAAAAAUGGUGAGACGACAAUUGUUUCUGGUAUGUGGCUUUAUGUCGCUUACUGGUAAGGAAUACACAAAAGGAUAGGUACCACAUUCUUUUUCUAAGAUACACAUCUUCUCACCCUCUAACUUUCUCCGUUCCCAGUAACUCUAAUGUAAAACCACACAACCAAAUGCUCUAGAUUUCUUAUACCAAACAUUGAGGUAGUUAGACAACUACAGUCAAAUGAUUCAUGAUUGCAAUACCCUCUCAAUGAAUUAUUGGAGCUUUCAAACUACUAGACAAUAGCCAGUUUCACAUCACGCCAGCAUUAAGCCCAGCACAUCGAACCCUAAGAAGUAAGAUGUUACUGGCUUAGAACGGGAUAAAUAAUAAUACUAAAAGUCCCUUUUGUACUACUCCUAGAUCAGGAAAAAAGUAAUAACACGUUAAUCAUUCUCUUGUCCUCCCAAACUUCUAAAGAUGACCCGUUUUGGCUGGAUCUUUUGUAAUAGUACUGAAAUACUCUUAUCUUAUAAUUCAGCCAGUGAAAACAUACUUCAUAUAGUGAACUCCAUAUAUAGACUACACAUUCAGUUCGUUCAUUAUGUUGAAUCGAUCUCUAGCAAAGGUCAAGUCAUUUUUUGCAACCCUUAAGCCUUCUAAUCCUUCAAUAGAUACUUCUUCCAAUGAAGAGAGAGUGUCUAAGAUGUCAGUAGCAGACAUAACCAAUACCAUAAAAAUAUGAUAAAAUGAAAAGCACAUUUUUCAAUUAACAUGCAUCUUUGAACUUCACAAUUAUGAGUGAGGAAACCGACUAGAGCUGUUAAGUUGAUCAACCAGAUUCUUUCAUAACUUUGCGGAGGUUUGUAGCUCGGAAACACAAUGUGAGCAUAAGAAUGAGCUAAAGUAUAUACACACUGCUUAUUGCAAGUAUGCCUCUUACUCGGUUAUUUUGGUGCCAAGUUCAAAGGGAGUAAAUUUUAGUGAAGAGAGACUAUACUUUCAAAAGGUUGAGAAAGAUCAUACUAGAUGGUAUUGCGAAAUCAAUACAACAUGGAGACAUUAUCCAGUUUGCAAAGAUUAACAUUAGAAAAUUAGUGAAGGUCUGUAACUAGAAGAAGCAACUAACCCAAGCUAAAGGAAGUUCUAAAGAUAGAGUUAAAUAUCAAGGAACAAUGCUCAUACACUAUUCAUACAAGGCAAACGUAGGUGAUGGAAUGUUAUUGUAGUGAAUGCAAGUGCAUCCCAUAUAGCAAAUCAAACUAAUUGAAAAAAUAUGAAGCUUACAUCACAAAGGAACAAGAUUACAUUUAAAGACACAAUUGGAAAAAUCUACACCAAUACGAUACAAUAACUACAGGAUACAGAACCCCUCCAGCAAGCUGAAGAGGAUCCCAUUGACAGAUUUAGACAGACAGACUAACAAACAGAACAAGGGGAAAAAGAAGACGCCCUUACACCAGCGCUUAGAUAAAUAACACUAUUUCAACUGAAAUCUUUCAACAUACUUCUUUUUAUUAUACAGCUCUCAUCAUUCUAAAACGAAUGGACUAAGCCUAUGAAGGAAUAUAAGUUUUUAACUUUCUGCUUUUGAUUCUAAAAACCGAACCAAGAGAAAAAUAUGACAUGCUAAUUAGCAAUCAGGCAAUACAGAUGAGUCUCAAAUAAAUGCAAGAGAAAAAUAUUUCAUCAAAUAUCCAAUUCUAACAUAUGAGAUCCAAAGAGAGUAACAGACAAGACGUUUGACCACUGAAAUAUGCGUUGAUGAAUGGUAUUAGGAAAACCUUCUAGGAUGAACCCUUCUUAGAGAGGUACACUUUCAUUGGGAGCAGCGUACCCCAAUUUUACAACAAACUUCAAUUCCUCGCUAAACUAAAUCACUACGAACAUACCAGUACGGAUUAAUAUAGAAAGCCACCUAAACAAUUACUAAAAUCAACCAAAACAGAGCAAGACAACAGAAACUAUUAGUGUACAGAUUAAUAUAGAAAGUCACUAAAACAAGUAAUAAUUUAUGAUUUACAAGUGAAGUAAAAACUUCCUUAUCAAAUUAAGGAUCUCAAAAGGGAGAGGAACUUUAGCAACUUAUAUUCUUGAAAAAAUAUAAGUUCGAAUUACUGACAUGCACUGAAAAACAUAAAUUAUGAAGGACAUUUAAGAUCAAAUUCGAAUUACUGACAUCACCGAAAAACAUAAAUUAUGAAGGACUUUUUAAGAUCAAAUUGUAAAAAGGUGUGAUCUCAUACAUGUUUGUUUUUCAAGUUCCAAUCAUGUCUCCUUUAACUGUUUCAAAAGCAGCUUUAAGUUUAGCUGCUUCACCUGUGAAAGUGCUUCUAUCUCUGCAAUCUUAGAAUUCUUUUCUGCAAUCAAAGUCUAUAAGGAACAAGGUUUUAGAAGAUAGAAAGUACAUUGGUCAACACACAAGUUCUAUUUAAUAUUUCACCAAAGAUAUACACAUCUGAAACUCAUGCAGUUCUAUUUAACAUUUCACCAAAGAUAUACACAUCUGAGACUCAUGCAUGCAUCUGAAAAAAGAAGGUUAACCACAUAUACCUUAAAUUCGUGAACACAACAACAAAAUUAAACUCACAAAAUAGAUACAUAAAACCACACAUCAAAAAAUAGCUCCAAUUCUCAGUUAAUCUAAGCAAAUAAUGAUUGAUGAUGGAAAAGCUCACCUUGGAUCUGAACAUCAAGAGACAAGGCUUUAGAGAGUAAUGUAGAACUUCAUCGGGAGUUUCAAGAUUAUAAACCCAAAAUGAAUUAAUUUUUUAUCUCAAUAAAAGAGCUCAAAAUAGCUCAUCUUCUUAGAGUAAUCGAGAAAUAAUAUCUCAAAGGCCUCUCUAUAUAUGAAGCUUGGAACAACAAUGAAGCUUUGAAAGAAAAGAAGAAGCAAAUUAAGCCUAAUUUUACUGUCAAAUUGAAGUUUAUUGUGAAGUAAAGCAAAUGAAAAAUUGACCAUCACUAUGCGGACAAAACAAGAAGACGAUGGAUAAACAAUUGUGAUUAGACAAAAUAACAAAGUACAAAAAUAUCUCUACUUUUCUAAAUGAUUUUUCUCUUUUUUUAAAAAAAAUUAUUUUGGACCUUUUCGGAUUUGGGUCAUUCUUAAACUCUUCUUUAUUUUGGGCCAAUUUAAAUUUGUCAAGUUAGCCAUUUUUCCUUUUCCACAAAAAAAUAAUAAAAAAAAGAAAGGUACAUUUACUAAUUAACCUCUUAAAAAUUUUACUAUCAAUUUUGAAAAUUUUAAAAAGAAAAAUAAUUACAAAAUAUAAAAAAUAUUUAAUUAAUGCUUUCUUGAUUUGAUAAGGUGGACAACUAGUACGAGAUAAUAUUUUUUUAAAAUGACCAACUAAUAUUAAAUAAAGGAAGUAUAUAUAUUUUAGAUGGAUACGCAAUUCAAAAUAUAUUUGAAUUUUUUUUUUCAAAAUUUGUGAUAAAAAUUAAAUUAUAUAUUUUGUGAUUAUAAAUCAUCUCAUUAAGAGUCAAAUCGAUAUUUUAUACUAAUAACUUUUAAAUAAAUGGAUUGUUCAUUUGGGAUUUAGUGAGAAGAAAAAUGUAUUAUUUAAUUUCGAAAAUGGUGAUGAAGAUAAUAUGCGUGCACAGAAAUACAUCUUAUGUUCAAUUGCAUUUUGAGGAAACAAUAUGUUUGUCAAAAUUUUAAUUUCUUGAAAUACAUUUUCAAUAAUUGUUAAAAUCGUAUAAUUUUACUCAAUUAUUCACUCCUUAAAUAUAAAUAAUAUAUAACAUUUAAAGUAAGUAAAUAUAUAAUGAAAUAAUAGAUACUAUAUAUCAUACUAAAUGUUACUAAUGCAUUAACAAUGAACAGAAGAAUAUGUUUAGAAUAAAAUAUUCUUAAUAAACACAUAGUUCAUGUACAUAAAUGUAUAUAUUAUUGUCCUUUGCUAUCUUACUUUGAAUUGUCUCAAGAAAUUCAAUAUCAUAUUCAAUCAAAGAUUUGCACCUAUUAACUUUUAUUAAACUUUUAAUGUUUAUGUAAAAAUUAUAACACUCUCUGUUUAAUAGUACUAAACAAUGAAUAAAUGAUUGUGAAUAAAUGAUAUAUACUACGAUUAAUAAAAUAAUAAAAAAUUAAAUAUGAUCCAAAGAAUAAGAUAAUAAUAUUUAUAAUUUAUUUAUAGUAAUUUCCGCGCAUCGCAUGGGUAAUUAUACUAGUUAUUCUAAAUAUAGAGUAAUUUUUAACGGUAGGAACGACUCAAAAUGUACUAGAGAAUAAAAUUAAAAUGUUUUAUAUAAAUAUAGUAGAAAUGUAAAUUUGGACUUCUCUAUUUCUUUUGGCAACAAUGCGCAUAAAUAGACCUUAUAAAUUCACAUUUCACACUUUAUUUUCAACUGCACUUGAAUCUUUUAGGGCCCGUAUGGCCACGGAUUUUUUUUUUAAUUUUCGGAAAAAGUUUUUACCAUGUCAAAUACAACUCUAAAUUGACGUUUUACCAUGUGAAUUCUAAAAAAAAAAAAAAAAAGUUAUAUUUGGAAAAGUGAGAAACAAGAAAAAAAAAUAUUUUCACUUUUUCCCGUCUUCAUUCUCUUAUAAAAAUUCAAAAAUAAUUUUAAUUAUAUUUAUCAACAAACAUAACUCCAACUCCAAUUUAAAAUUUUUUAAUUUUUAUGGCCAAACCUCCACUUAAUUAGGAGUUCGACAUAACUUAAUAAUGAUUAAACUUUUACAUUUAUACUUAAAUUUCACUUAACAUAUUAAUUAAAUAAUUUAUUUAAAAUUUAGUAGACCGUCUUUUUUAGGUUCGCCUCUCGAUUAAAGUGAAGUAAAUGCAUUCACAUGUGCUAUCCUAAUUCAAAUGCGUAGUUAAAGAAGCCUCAACCAUUUUAAAAACCCGUGAUGCUUUUUUUUUUACUCCUGCUCCUUUCACUUGAGUUGCAUCUUUGAUUUAGACGGUGAAAGUCCGAGGCGGAGUUAAGAUUUUAAGUUUAUGAUUUUGAAUCUUUUUCAUAUCCUCUUCUCUUUAUUAGUAAUUGCAUAAUUUGCUAUUCUUCAAUAUGUUUUUAUUAUUUGUUACUUCAUUUUGCUUUGUAUCUUGAUUUUUUUUCUUGUAGCCCUUAUCUGAAUAACUUUUCUUAUGAGCUGAAGAUCCAUCGAAAUAACUUUUUUACCUCAUAAAGCUAAAAAGGUUUGCAUACGUUUAACCCUUCCUAGGCUCCAUUUGUGGGAUGACACCAAGUAUAUUGUUAUUGUUGUUGCUGAAUUCUGAAUUCUAGAAAACGAAAAUUUAUUUGGUUUAUUUAUAAUUUAAUUAUAUAAAUUAAGUGAAUUCUUAAACAUAAAUAUAAUACCCGAGCCAAAGCUAUUAGGUUCUGCUGAAUCCGGUAGCCAAGCUCUAGUUGAGAAAACUUUUUACCUUUAGGGAAUCAUAGAUUGCUUAAAGUCAUCUACUGCAGAUCUAGAGUAGCUCUUACAUGAUUAACCUUACAGGACAAAAGCUCUUCAUGAUUUCUUCUCCUGAACACAAUCGCAACAAAUAAUAUAUUUGCAUGCGGAGAAAAUAUAUGUACUUAAGCAUGAAUGUACAAUUACAAAUUAACCAAUGGAAAAAGGGAGGGCAUGCCAACAGGGGCGGAUCUAGAGGGUAGCAACUAGCAAGGGGUGUUCUCGACAAAAAAUUACACUGUAUAUGUAUAUAUAAGGUAAUCCCUAAACAUAAGAUAAGAGAUCACUCAGUAGUUAAGUGAGCUCAAAUUUUACCGUGAAAUUUUAAAUUCAAAUCUCUAAAAACACUGCUGAUGCCGACACCUUGGUAAAAAAAAAAGUUGAGGACAUUGUGGAAGGACCAACGUAUGGGACCAUAUGUGGAGUAGUAGCUUUUCCUUUUAGCUUUGUCCUACGCAAUCAGGGGCGGAUCCACGUGGUAUUCAGGGUUUCAUCCGAACUCUUUCGGCAAAAUAUUACGUUAUAUAUAUAACGUAGAAAAAUCUAUAUUUAUGUAUAUAUAUUAAUUUUGAACCACUUGAAAACAAGGUUGUUGGAUAGCCUAGUGGUUCUAUGUUUGCUUUUUGUGUCGCUCCUUCAACCCUCGGUCGUGGGUUCGAUUCGGGUUCGAUUCCCACCACCAGCGAAGGCUUUAUUUUUUAAAAUCUGUUUUGCACAACUGCUAUAGUAGCUGUCCUGUGCAGCUGUAAUAAAAAAAAAGGACGCAUGUACAACUACUAUAACUUUGAAAUUAUAUUUUGUUGACGUAUUCACACAUUUAUAUUUUUAUUUUUUCGAACCUCCUAAAAUAAAUUCCUAGAUCCGCCACUGUGCAGCCAUCCAUUAGUAAAUUAUGCUGGUAGGAUUAUUAAAGGCCAUCAACUGCUGCUUCCUACUAUUAAAAACCAGCAGGUUAGAAUGGAAAGAGUAAUUUAAACCGUGCGAUUCUUAGACCUACAAAGUGAUGAUGUGCUUAUGAAAAGAGGCAGUAACUGUAAUUCUGGAGAACAGGUAGCCUUUCCAACCACAAAAUUAAUUAGAAGGGGAAAUAUUUCAGUAAGAAAGCCACAAUUUUGUGGACAAUAUAACUAAUGUGCCGAUAUUUUCUUUUGUCUGAUUUUCACAUUUAUUUUGGUUCAUUCACUAUUAAGAGGAUCUCCUUAAAGAUAAUCUGGUUGAGAAUUCGAAUUGAUUCUUUAUCAUUUUAAGUCGAGAUGCAUCACACAGCGAACUCAUAUGAUCUAAAGGGCAAAUAGUGUUUCACAAUUUUUGAUAAAAGCUUAAUUGGACUACCUAACGAAAAAGGGUAUCCUGUCCUUAUCGAGGUUUUUAAGGCAUGUAACCUGCCAUGUGGCUACAACUUACGAACAUCAAGCGUAGGGUUUCAACAGCCCAUGUGACAAGAGGACAGCAACCUUCGAAAAUAAUGCCAAGACAAUAUUACAGAGAUGAUAAAUAGUACUCCCUCCAUUCUAUAAUAAGUAAAUGGCCAAACUACAACCCUAAGUUUGGCACAAUCUUUCACUUUGACAUCUUAAGUGCAUGGUGUUCAUUUUUAGCACCUAAAGCAAUCCUCAAAUGUGUUAUUUUAGCACUUUUUUCAUUAGCAGCAAAUAAAUACUACAUGUGCGCACUACACGCGCUAAUAACAUAAAAAUUGACGAAUAAAACGCAGACAUUUGUUAUUUCUCUUAAUAUUAAUUUUAAAAUAAUUAAUUUAAUUAAAGUAAAAAAAUUACCAAUUAAAUGUUGACACUUUGCAUUUUUAAUCCAAAUAAUUAUACAAAAAGUGAAUUAUAAUUAUUCUCUCCCCCAACCCCCACACACUAUAUCUAUCUUCUCCUGCCAUCCACCGACCCCUACCCUUCACCUGCUUCUCCACUAUUCAGUCAUCUUCUCCAAUUUCUACCCAUUUAUCCUCUGCCCACCCAUCUCAACCCUCCACAACCAAAAUCUUCUCUUCAAUUACCUCUUAAUUCACAAUCAUUUUCUUUUAAAAAAAAUGUUAAGAAUUUAUUCCAAAUAAAAUCUGUUAAAGAUUUAUUGAGAUUUCACAAUUGGAGGAAAUUUUCACAUUCGAAUUGUAUUUGACAUUAUUUUUUUGUUAUGUUAAUUCUAAAAUCUAUCUCAAAAAAUUUCACCAUCAAAGGAGUUUAAAUUGAGUAAAAUCGAGGCAAAACUUGAGCUAAUUCCUGUUGUUUUUGUCUGCUUAUCUUUACAACUUUUACGAUUUCUAGUGUUACUUUGGUCUGAUUAUGGCCACAUACAACUACUCUUUGGUUGCAGAUUUCUGAUUUCUUUGUCUUUUUUGGUUCAUCUAUAUACAACAAAGAUUUCUGAUUUCUUUGUCUUUUUGAUUUAUCUAUUUACAACAAUCUAGUACUGUUUUAUAUUUUUUUUUGACAUUGGUUAGUUCUUUUUGGUUACUUGUAUGGCAUUAAUUUGUUUUCGAUCGUCUUCUGAGCUUAAUUAUGUUGAUGGCUUUUUAAAUAAAAGCCCCCUAAACUUAGAGAAGGAAUAUUUGUUAAUUGUUGUUAGUGUGUUAGUGUGUUCAUUAGAUUCUUGAAAAAUGUAACCUUCAUUAAUGGAGGUUAAGGUUGUGUGAAGAGACAAUGUGAGGAAAAAGACAAUAGAGAUUUUUAAUAAUUUUUAAAAAAUUUAAAGAUGAAAAAUUAUGAAAAUAUCCUCCAAAAAUUACGAAAAUACUCUCAAACGCGUUUAAAAGCGAGUGUAAUGCACUCUCUUUGCUGAUUCAGCAAAAGGUGUCAAAAUGACACACUUUAUGGCUACUUGAGGUGUCAAAAGUGAACAAUAUCCACUUGAGAUGCCAAAGUGAAAGAUCGUGUCAAGUUUAGGGGGUCAUCGAUAAAUUUGAUCUAAGUUAAUUGUUGAAUUUUGACACACAUGUUAAGAAAAAAAUAAAGAUAUAAAUUUAUCAUGUUUUUUCAUUUCUAUCAUUUUCAAAUUUCAAAACCUUAAUGGAGGAUAAAUUUGAAAAAAGAAUUCAAUAUCUACCUUGAAUUGUGAAUCAUUCACUUAUUUUAAAAAUUUAAAAAUACUUUAACAAUUUACUUAUUAUGAAAUGGGGGGAGUAGUAAAACUUUUUGUGUAGUUGAUCGAAAAGUAACAAAUUGAAUCUUUCAACAGAGAGAAAAUCAUGAAAAUCAUACACAUCUUCUCUCACAUCUCACACUACGCUUUUUUUUUCUUUUAACAAAGGGGGUACUCCGCUCCCUUUCACUUUUGCGUUUUUGAUUUUAACUUGUAGGAAAUUUUUAAAAAGUAAAAUAAAAAUUUAAAUCUAAUGGUAAUAAAUAUGUCAUAUGAAAAAUUGAAUUCAAAGAAUUGUCGACAAAAGAAAAGAAACUUUCUUUAUAAAAUGAAUGAAAGAAAAAAGUAACACAAACAAAUUAAAAUUGAGUGAGUACUCUAUCUUGUAAGAAACAAAAUAUGAAUUCGUUCAUGUAUGGUAGUACUCCCUUUGUUCACCUGUUGGUCCUAGUUCGGACUUGUUAUAAAAUUUGAUUAAAAAAUAAAGUUUUUUAAAAUUUGUGAUGAUAUAAUAUUUAUGUGUUUAUAAAAAAUUUUAAAAAUUGGACAAAGGAGUAAUGGAGUACUAUGUAUUAAGAAAUUUCUUUAUUUUCUCAAAGGAGCAAUUGUAGGUCCUACCUUGCUUGGUUAAAAGCAUUUGGCGCAAAAUGAGACGCAUGAAGAUGCGAGAUGUGCGGCAAGAUUGAACAACCUUUUGGUACAAGACACGUUGAGUGAGUGGCGUGGCGUGUCUGUCCACCCAUUUCAUUCUUCUUUCAUCACAAAAAAAAAGCAGCUCGAUCCGUUAAAUUUUUCGCUAUGUGUGAAAUUCGGAGAAGGCCUCCACCACAACGCACUCUUAUCUUCCAUUUGUGUCGGAGAUUAUUUUCAAAAUUUGAACCCGUCUGAUCACAUGAAAACAACUUUGUAUUACUCCGAGGCUCCUCUUCAAAAGCCAAAUCCCCACAAAUUCACAAAAGCCAAAUCCCAUCUUUGAGGGUCCCUACACUUGCUGAUAGGUGAAAAGUAAGCAGUAGAGUGAUACCAUACUCGUCAAUGAAACAACAGACAGAAUCACGUACCUCCGUAGCCCUCUUAGAUUCACUUGGGUUAUUGUUUAAUUACCUCGUAGGCCUACCCCAUCAGCCGAUCUCAAAUCUCAGAUGAUCUUCUAAAGGAGUAAUCAAAUCAUAAGCCCAAUAGCUUGGAUAAGUCAGGAGUCAAACACUGUUAUCAUAAACAUAUUGUGUUCGCCUUUUGGAUAUCUUCCCGUCCCAAAAUAGUUACCUUUAGUUUCUCGAAAGUUAAUUUGAUUAAUCUCUCAAAUUACGUUACUGUAGAUUACCUAAAUAUUUCAAAAUUAAAAUCUAGACAUUUGGAAACUAUAGGUUACAACCUUUUUUUCAUAAUAAUUCGGUGAAAAAAUAACUUUAAAAUAUUGAUCAAAUUAAAGUUCACACUCGAGAAGUGAAAUGCGACAAGUAUUUUGGGACAUAGGGGGAUAAUUACCCUUGGAACAAAAAAUGUAUCCAUUGUGACAAUUUAAUCAAUCAGUAUCUCUGGGAUUUGGGAAUCUAAUUAAACCUGUAUCAAGAAAUUUUGGAGCAUCUAAAGUGCAACCAAGAUUCUUCAUCUCAAAUGUACAGGAGAUUAAUAGCUUAAAGUUUGGUAAAAUUGAUCCAGAUUUUCAUCAUCCUAGAAGAUUGGAUUUGCUUCCUUACAUAUCUCAUAGCAUGUGCUAAACGUACCAUCUCCACAACAACAUAUCAAGUAUAAUCCCAUUUGGGGACCUUAUCUAUACCUCAGUUAUAGAGAAGAUGUUUCCAUAGACCCUCGGCUCAAGGAAAAGUAGUCCAAAACACCUCCAAGGAAAAUAAUAGUAUCAGGAUUUUCUAAUUUCCCUCUUCACUGUACACAAUGUGUCUGGGAGAGAGUAGUUCUUGGCCUAUGCUAUGCAGCAGACUACUAAAAUAUGUACACUCUGAAAUAAGGCCCUUUUCCUCUCCAUCCAACAUCGCCGAAAGGGCUCAUUUGCUGAUGAAACCAUCAUGGUGAUACAGAUGGAAUUCCUUAAACAUAUUAUAGAAAGGCCUCAAAGGAUCAGCUUCUUAACAUUGCAGUUGCUCUUAUCAAACACCUCCUCAGCUCCUUUGUGAUAAUAGUAGCCUUACAAGUUCUGGACGGAACUAUUUCCAACUGCACGCGCCCAAUCAACUACUUCCUUCAAAGUAUGUCUUUUAUUCUAUCAUAUAUACUUGGCAUUAAGCUUUUACAUCUACUCAAACAUCAUAUCAAUGAGAUUGUGAUUGCCAUUGCUGAAUCACAGAAGGAAACUCAAAUGUUCAAUUGUCACUCCACUACUUGAUUACCUCUUCGAAUUCACUUGUCCUCGUCUUAUGCCUGUGACCCAUAUGGUCCUUUAAAGCAAAUAGGUCUAGGCCAUCUAAGUCUAACCACUAACAGACUACGACACUAAAUGUCUGGCUAUUCUGUUACUGUGGGAGGUAUAGAGAUGAGCAGGAAACUCAGGAAAAUGAAACGCAAUAGAAGUUGUGUGGAAAAGAUGAAGCCAUCUCUAAUUCUUACUGUUAACACUAUUAAGGAAGACAACUUCAAAGUAAAUAAAUUAUCCAUAUGAUCAUGUCUCCAAUAUGAGUACGUUGACGGUUUUCAAGCUUAAUCUGUUCCAAUUAAUUCAGUAUCAUGCUGUAACUAUAUUGCAUUUUCUAAUUCUACAGCCUUCUAGCACGAUUGGUUUGCAACAAAUGAUGGAAUUUGGUUGUUUGGGCCUCAAGUUAAGGCAAUUGGAAAAUUGGUCACUUGAUUGACAUGAUUAUUUUUCGAAAUCUAAAUCAAAAGUUCUGUAGGUAAGAACGGUGCCUUAAUUCCUUCUCAAGGCCUGCGAAAUUCACAAAGAACAAGUUCCCACCUUAAUUUGCCCAACAACUUAAUGUAUGAACCAUUUCGUAGUGGUCCUAACAACCCCCGAGCAAAUACUUCCAUUUAUUUUUGAGGAACUGUACAUGUGUAAUAGCAGAUAUAUGCUUCAUGUAUUAAAAAGAAAAAGAAUACAUGAUGAUAUUCACAAGACAGUAAGAUCGAUCUCCUGCUUCCUUAUUUCCCUGUAUAAUAAGCACACCUUAACCUAUUCAUUGAGAACUUAUAGCUCUGAUGCAGAGCCACCUUCAAGACUACGAGAUUGAUUCAAGGACGAUGAUUCUUUUCCAGUAGAAAAGUAAGACCAUGCUAAGACAGCAGAGCCUAGUGUAAUUGUAGCAGCAAUCGAACCCCAUAUCCAUUUCUUCUGCCUUCUUUUCCUUAUUUGCCUAAGACGCCGUGCUGACUCUACACAAUCCAAACAAAAACAGAAACUGUCAUUUUCCAUGAAACAAACAGUGUCUGCUGGUAGAUCUCCUUCUCAAUCAAUGACAAACAACUUAGCAAUAUAAAAAAGGAUCACUACUUAGCAUUUACCCUGAUAGACAGCGGGUACCAAGAUUAGAUAAUCAGAGAAGCAACCUGAAUUGUUUGUUACUCAGGAUAAUAUAACUACAUCGGUAAGGUCUUCGAUGACACACUAACCUACGAAUUGCCUUAUGAACCAAAUGUACUCCUGAUGUAAGUUAUAUGUUAGAAAGGAAGUCACUAACCUCAAUUUGUUCUUUCAUACAAUUGUGCGAAUCAGAUUACCUGCUUGCAUAAAAUCUAAUUUGACAGAUAUUAAGGACCUAUGCCUUGCAUAUAAAUACCCUCCUUUGACUAACACGAUUAUAGAUAUGAGAAUUACAAUCGAGUCUAUGUUUAUUUUGUUCUUUUAUUUUAAGAAAAAAAAAUAGAAAAUACUGCAUUUAUGAGUGAAAAAAGUUCAUAAUGAAGUUUGGUUGAAGAAUAACAGAUAGCCAAGACAUUGUUCUGGAUGCACUAAAAACGAAACAUAAACAUUUGGAAUGAGCGGGGAAGAUACUUGCAGUUCAGAUUAAACCACUAAUGAUGACUUUCUGAAUCAGUUCAGUUGGAAAAGUAAAACACCAUGUCUCGCUUAUGCAGGACCUAGAUUUCAAAUUUUGUAGUGGAAAAGAAUUAAUUAAUUAGAUUACUGUGUUGGUACCUCUUGUUUCUCCGAGUCAAUGAUGACAACUGAAUUUGCAAAUUAAACAGAAAAUUUUUCCUACAUAAUAGCAGAUCCCAACAUAAAGUUCUUAUUCUUUCACAAAUCUCUGAUAAGGGACGAGGCGGUUGCAUCACGGCUAUGAGCAAUAUACAUUUUAAAAAAGUAAAACUAAGUAUCUUUAAGGAUCUAGUUGCUACCUAUCAGUAUACACCAUCUAUUUUGUGGAAGCUAUAAGUCAAAGAUUGAUAGAGACAGAAGUAUGAACAUAUGAAAGAUCUCCACAAGCAUUUGCCUAAACACUGCUGAGAGAAUAGUCAUACACCUACUUUAAUUGUGCAACAACACAUUGGCUUCAAAUUAUAAGUAGUAACAUGGAACAUAAACUCACCUAUAGCUUCCUGAUUCCUCUGUGACAUUUCUCGGUUCACAGCUUCAUAAUAAUUCAACUUGUCCCAUAGUCGAGCUAUCUCAAAGUUCUUUGACUCAAUUUGAGCCUCAACUUCUGUCUCCAUCUCAGCCUUUGUUAUUCCCCUUCCAAUGGAUUCUGAUACAAAUCGAAUGGUUUGUACUUGUUGACACAAAUCUUCCACCUGAUCAUCUGGCUGUUCAUUGUCCAAUUCCUCUCCAGCAACAAGAUUAGGAGGGAUGUUCAACCCCACGAGAGACAAUCGUUCACGAAUCCUCUGCCAUUGGGUCUGCAUAUUACUUAGAACUUCUUCAACUUGCUUUCGCUUUUCAAUUUCCAUUAAUAAGCUCAAUCUUAUUUCACGUAGCUCAUUUUCAAAAUCAUUUGCAGGUAGCUGUGGCCCAUUCUCUGAAGAUAGUUCUGAAGAGAGGAAACACAUAAGACAACCAAAAAUUAUUAUGCAUGGUCAUGACACACAAUACUCAAGAACUUGCAAUAAGAAAAAGGAAAAGGCACUCGAUGGUAACAAGGUACUUAGAAUACCAAAACUUGCAUGGUUGACUGAAAAAUGUAAAUCCUAAAACUAUGCAUCAGGGAGAAAAGACAAGGAAGCUAAUCUGACACACACACAGGAAAAAGGAAAGGAAGAAAAUAAUGAAGAGAACAUUCAAACUUUUACUAAAAGAGGAACAAAUAAAUACCUCAAGUUCAAUUCAAAUGUAAAUAAAAAGACAUAACCAUGAAAAUUAUCGACUUAUGAAAAGGUAAUCACCUUCCCAAGCAUCAUAAAAUUCUCCCAUCGGGGUCAUGGAACUUAAACUGCGCUGGAGUCCACCAUUAUUCUCACUCUCACCGAAACUCCUGACACUCAGAGACUCCUGUGGGUCAAAGAAAUCAUCAGCUUCACCACCUUUCCGCAAAUUGAAUGCAACAGACUUCAUUGUACCAUUUUGCCCAGCUGAACCAUUAGGCAAAUCUUGGUGAAGAAGCCCCCCUUCACGGAGGCCGGCCACUUCACCACCCUUACCCAGGUUAUCAGUAGGGAAUAACAAAUUAUCCUCUUUCACAUUAUUAGCUGUCUCCCUAGAAACGGAAAGAUCAUCAGCAGAUGUACUGGGGAGCUCCUCCUCCGUGUCUCUUAAAUUCUCAUCUAUUUUCUCUCCGUCUAGAGCGUGUUGUUGAGUGCCAAAAUCAUCUUCGGUGAAACUCUUUGAAAGGCGUGGACCUCGACGCUUGUGAUUGAUUAUGUAGGGCGAUGGAGGAAACGAAGAAGGAGAAUCUGGAUAUGACGAAGGGGAAUCUGGAAGUGGCGCUGGCUUUGGAAUCGUGUAUAGUGCAGGAGAUAUUUGAGUCCAGUGAUCUUUCCUAUCUCCAUUUACGGAGGACUUACCAUUGGUAUCAUCCAUCUUUAUAUUAGACAGGAUAGUUUUCCUUUCUAGUUCUGAACCAGAACCGUUCUUGCUUCUAUUAAAACUUGAAUUAGGAAUGUUGUUCCUCCUCUCAAAUUUUGAUUCGUGAAUGCUCUUGGAAGUUGCCAUGGAUUUCGAGCCCCUCGAUUCUAUUAAUCUAUCCACAGCAACUGCUGUAUAUGUCGGCAUGGCUUACUAUACCAGCGACACCUAUAAGAAAUAAGAGAAAGAAAUACAGCACAAUAACCAAUUAAUCCAUUUUCCAUUAAGAAUACAUAAAAGUACAUCCUGCCAAAUAAUCUGAUCCUGAAGAUGAAUGAUAAGCAGCAUAAAAGAAAGGAACUAAAGGAAAAUGAAGUUGUUCAAAACUUUGAUACUGAAGAACCAGGCAGAGAACAUUCCAUAGAAUUGCAAAGGCGAGUCACAAAAUCUAGAAAUGUUAGUACUUAUUAAUACAAUGUAAUAUCACCAUAGAGUGCAACAUAAACUUUGUGACGAUCAUAGCCUACCUGAUUUUCAUAUUUGUUAAUUAGUAGAGGUUCGUUACCUCAUUAGGAUGAAUAAGGUAAGGCGUAGCCUCCCUUGCUUGGACUCUUCUCUUUGAGGUUCUCUUUUUCAUUUAUUAAUUAAAAAAACUAGCCUAGCGGAUUUGCUUUAAAUAAAAUAUUCAUACUUAAUCCCGAAUCAUGAUUACAUCUUAAUCCACCUAAAUUUUACUAAUCCACUAAAACCAAUAUAGGUUCGUUCAACUUUUAAAUCCACCCAUCAACACCUGGAAGAAGACAUGUAAUUAUAGGUCCAUAAUAAUCAAAUAAAAAUGUGUCAAAGCUUCAACAAACUCAAAUCAUAAGAUGAGAAGGUAACCUGAAAGAAGAAAUUGAGAAUGGCGAUUGUGAAAAGUCAUGAUAUUAUGAUUAAAGGUAGAAGGUGAAGGUGGAGUUUUAGUAUGGAACAAGUUACCAUUGAUGCACGCGACUUGUUCUCUCUCUAGCUCUCACACACCCCUGAGACUCUUGACUCAGACUCAGAAGACCCUGGCCUUUCGGACAAGGCAAAGAGCCCCUCCCCCCCCAAAACAACACCAGUUCCCUAUACCCAAGGUUGAAUUCUUCUUUCUUCCUUCUUUCUCUGUUUGUUUGUUAAUUGACUAGUAUUGUGUGUGUCUUUUCCUUUCUUCCUCCCUCUGCUUCUGCGUGUGUUGUAUGUGUUUGUUUGCCUUCCCGAUUUUUCCUCUCUAUCUUUCUGCGGCUGCUUCUACCCCUCACAGAUUCAAAGGCCACAAUGCAAACAGAUCCUCCCACUUUAUUCUACACGAGCACUAUUAUAAGAUUCUUUUAUUUUGUCCUACCAUCCACACCUCACGUCCCUUUCUGUCUUUUUUUUUUGUAUACUCACUCUCGUGUUUCAAUUUCAUUGAUUACUGAGUUUUAAUAAAUAAAUAGAAUUUUUUAUAUUUUGUGAUUUUAAAUUAGAAACAUGUAUUUGAAAAUUAGAAGAGCAUGAUCCGUGUCCAACAUUAAGAUAUUUAUUUGUCUUUUCAAUCUUGAUAUAUUUAAAAAAAAAAAAAUUAAUAAAAAGAUUGCAUAUGUUUUCUAAGAUUCAUCCGGAAUUUAGCAUGAGUUCAACAUAUGUUAUUUUAAUAUGUAUUUAGAUAAUUUAAGUUGUUAACUAUGGUAAUUUAUAAUAUUUUUAUGUAAUUUUUAAAUUAAUAUACGCUACUUUUCUUGUCCAAAAUUUUGUGACAUUGAUUGUCAAUUAUAUUUUAAAAAUAAUUUAAGUUUUAAAUUAUGGUGAUUUAUAAUACUUUUCUUCUAUUCUAAUUCAAGUGACACUAAUAUAAUUUCAAGAGUCGACCAAAUAUUUUAUAUCUUUUAAAUUUUUUAAGUUGUUAAUUAUUGUGAUUUCUAGUAUUUUUCAUGUAAUUUUUUUGAAAUAUAUAACAUAUUAAAUUGUUUUUAGAUAUUUUAAAUUGUUAACAAUUGUAAUUUAUAAUACUUUUUAUGUAAUUUUUGAAUAAUAUAUGCUACUCUCCUUGUCCUGAAUUUUGUGUCGAUGACAGCCAAUUAUAUUUUAAAAAUAAUUAUAUUUUUUAAAUAAUUUAAAUUUUUUAUCAUUGUGAUUUAUAAUAUUUUUUCUAUUUCAACUUAUGUGGCACAAUGCUUAAAUGACCAUAAUAAUUAAUUAGGAGUGAUAUAGUAAAUUUACAACUGAAUCAACGAAGCAUAAAUGUCGUAAAUGACUUACAACAACUAAUUAGAAGUGACAUAGCGAAAUUACUAUAAAAAAUGCUUGUGAAAAACUUAAAUGGACCUCAUAUAAGACGUCAAGUUAAUUUAAAACAUCAACAGUUAAUUUAUCAUUUUUAUAUCUAUUUUAUUUCUAUUAAAUAUUAUUAAUUUUUUAAUACUUAAAUAACUUAUAAUAAUUAAUUAAGGGUAAUAUGUAGUAAAACUAUGGUUGAAACAGAUAAAGCAGACAUAUCAUAAACGUCUCUUUUAUUUUUUUUAUUAAAUAUUAUGAAUUUUUUUAAUACAUAAAUGACUUAUAAUAAUUGAUUAGGAGUGAUAUAAUAAAAUUACAAUUGAAGCAACUUAAUCAGACAUGUCAUAAAUAUUUAUUUUAUAUUUUUAAUUAAAUAUUAAUUAUUUUUAAUACAUGAAUAACUUAUAAUAAUUAAUUGUAGGUAAUAUAGUAAAAUCAUGGAUUCAAUAUCAUUAAUUUUUCAAUACAUAAGUGACUUAUAAUAAUUAAUUACGGGUGAUACAUUAAAAUCACGAUUGAAGCAGCUGAAGCAGAAAUCAAUCAAUUUUUUUCUGUUAAUUAUUGUCAUUUACAGUACUUUUUAUUUCAUUUUCAAAUAAUAUAUGUUGCAUAUGUGACACUAAUAUAAUUUUGAUAGUCAAUCAAAUAUUUUAUGUUGACAUAUCAUUUUGUUAUUCUUAUUUUGCUAAUACAUAAAUGACUUAUAAUAAUGAGUAAUAUAGUAAAAUCAUCGUUCGAAAGACGAAAAUUUAAUUUAAAACAUUUAGAGUUAAUUUCGCAUUUUAUGUCUAUUUUAUUUUUCAUUAAAUAUUAUUUAUUUUCUUAAUACNNNNNNNNNNNNNNNNNNNNNNNNNNNNNNNNNNNNNNNNNNNNNNNNNNNNNNNNNNNNNNNNNNNNNNNNNNNNNNNNNNNNNNNNNNNNNNNNNNNNNNNNNNNNNNNNNNNNNNNNNNNNNNNNNNNNNNNNNNNNNNNNNNNNNNNNNNNNNNNNNNNNNNNNNNNNNNNNNNNNNNNNNNNNNNNNNNNNNNNNNNNNNNNNNNNNNNNNNNNNNNNNNNNNNNNNNNNNNNNNNNNNNNNNNNNNNNNNNNNNNNNNNNNNNNNNNNNNNNNNNNNNNNNNNNNNNNNNNNNNNNNNNNNNNNNNNNNNNNNNNNNNNNNNNNNNNNNNNNNNNNNNNNNAAAAAAAUAAUUUUAAAAUUUAAAUUUACUAAAAUAAAUAAAUAAAUAAAAAUAUUAAUUUUCUAUAUAAAAGUUAAUUAAAAUAAUAAAAUUGAUUUAUUUUAAAUAUUUAUUUGCAAUUAAUUAAGAUAAUUUUUUAUUUUGUCAUGAUUUAUGCUGCACCGAUAAAAUUUUGAGAGUUGAAUAUAAAUUUUAUCUAUUUUUUAAAAAAGUAUUUUAACUUGUUAAUUAUUGUGAUUUAUAAUAAUUUUUACGUAAUUAUCAAAUAAUAUAUUUACUCCUUGUGUCCCAAUUUAUGUGGCUUCGAUACAAUUUUGAGAGUCAACUAAAAAUUUAUAUAUCUUUUGAAUAUUUUAAGUUGUUAAUUAUUAUGAUUUGCAAUACUUUUUCUUUUAUCUCAAUUUAUGUGGCAUUGCUAAAAUAAUGAGAGCCAAUAAAAUUUUGAUAUGUAUUUUAAAUAUUUUAUGUUAUUAAUUAUUGUGAUUUAUGGUAACAAUUAGUUUUGAACAUGAUAGCCAAUUUUAAAUAAAAAAAAAUUACUUCCAAUAUGUAGUUAUAGUUAAUUAAUAUAAAUUAAUAGAAUAUAUUAAAUAUUUAAACCAUUAUGAUAAAAUAAUGAAAUUAUUAUAUAUUGGGGUAUGAUAUAUAAUUAAGUGGGAUUGGAGGGUUUUUUUGAUAAUUGCAGGAGAGGUGGUCGAAACCACCUCUUCUACAUAAUAGAAAUGUCACGUAAAAUAUAGAUAUUAUUGUAAAUAAGUUAUUGGUGGAUGUUCACAUACACACAUAUUACACAUACUAUUGUAGCAUGUAAAGAAGUCAUUUCUUUUGUGAAUAUAUUUUCACAUACUACACAUAUUACACAUACUCUUGCCUAUAAAAGGCAUUUUAUGCUACAUUGUAACACACACCAAAGUAGAAGAAAAUAAAAUCUUCUCUUAUAUCUAUAGGUCUCUCUCCCCUACCCUUUUAUUUUAGUAUAUUGCAGAAUAUUUAUUUACAACACGUUAUCAGCAUGACUCUACUCUUUUUAAGUUUUCAAUCCAUCAGGUAUAAUCAACUUACUUAUCUUGAAUAUUGUAAUUUGUUAUUUUUCUUUUAUCAAAAUUUUGUUUUAAACGUUAAAGUUACACAUGGAAAAAAAAUUAUGUUAUUGUAUUGUUGUCUAACUUCAUUAUUUUUAUUAUAGUUUUCAUCAUGUCAAACUUGUCGAAACUUGAGUUUGUGGCACUUGACAUCUCUGAAAAAAUUACUUGUCACGGGUUCUCAACACUGAGAUUCACCUAGCUGCUAAGGAUCUUAGUGCUACUAUUAUCCCGGAUAAUGCAGCGUCGAGUCAAGACAAGGUCAAGGCUAUGAUUUUCCUUCGUCAUCAUCUGGAUGAAGGACUGAAGGUUGAAUACCUUACUAUGAAAGAUUCACUUGAAUUGUGGACUGAUUUGAAGGGAAGAUAUGACCACCUAAAGGUCACGGUACUGCCUAGAGCUUCGUUAUGAGUGGAUGCACUUACGGUUUCAAGACUUUAAAAUCAUUGUUAAAUAUAAUUCUAUUGUAUUCAAGAUUGCUUCCUAAUUGAAAUUAUGUGGGGAAACUAUAAAUGAUGAAGACAUGAUGGAAAAAACACUAACUAUUUUUGAUUCCUCAAAUGUGAUAGUGCAACAACAAUAUCGUGAAAAGGGCUUUCAGAAGUAUUCUGAAUUGAUCUCAUGCCUUCUAGUGGCUGAGGAAUAUAAUGCCCUUUUGAUGAAAAAUCAUGAAGCCCGUCCUAUUGGAACUGCUCCACUACCAGAAGCAAAUGGGGUACAAGCACAUGGACAGCCUGAAAGACAGCAAAAUCGAGGUCAUAAUAAUAUGCGUGGACGUGGCAAUGGCAGGGGACGAUAUAAUAAUCGUCAUGGUGAUGGGAACCAAAGAAGGGAGAAUCAAAUGGGUCCCCAAAACAAUCCUUUAAUAGGUAAUUGUCAUCGUUGUAGCAUGAAAGGCCACUUGAAGAAUGAAUGUCGGGCGCCUAAGCAUUUUGUUAGGCUUUAUCAAGAAUCUUGCAAAAGAAAGAGAAAUGAAGGUGGGAUCUCUUCAAAUGCCCGAAUGGAGUUACAUUUGACUUUCAAAAAUGAUGAUAGGCAGGACCUUCACAAAAAUAUGAUUACAAUGUUGAGGCAAACUUGGUAUUGAAAGAUGAUGACUUUGAUGGCCUUGAUGAUAUAAUUCAUUUGGACGCUGAAGAUUUCUUUGGAGACCAAAACUAAAUCUUGAUCAAGUUAUUGGGGAAAUAAAUAAUAUUCUUUUAUUAUGUUGUUUUUAGCAUAUUUUUUCAUUAUGUUGUUUUUACAUUUCAAGAGAAAAUAAUAAGUAUUUAAGUUUUAUUGUAAGAUUGUGAGAUUUCACUUUUUUUAUCAUGUAUUUUUAUUUUGUGAAGAUAAUAAAAAAUUUUCAAUCUUCAACUGGAUCCAAGAUGAGUAAUGGAGAUGUAUCUUUUCUUGAUAGUGCUACAACUCACACUAUAUUAAGAGAAAAGAAAUAUUUCUCUAAUUUGAUUAUGAAAAUGGCCUAUGUUAAUACAAUAUCCGGUAGUACAAAGUUAAUUGAAGGCUCUGAAAGAGCGACCUUAUUACUACCGGGGGGAACAAUAACUACUAAAAAAAUUGCGUUUAGCAAGAGACCGAUAACGUUGCUAAUCAACAUAAAUCCGUCGCUAAAGCCAUUUAGAGACGGAUCAGCGACGGAAUACUAGUCGUUGCUAUAUUGCGCGUUGCUAACCAUUUAGCAAUAGAAAAAAUAAAAUUUGUUGCUAGAUUUGCAAGGAAAUAGAGACGCCCUAUAUCCGUUGCUAUUUUUUAGCAACGAAUGUAUUCGUUGUUAUAUUUAUAAAUGUCGUUACUAAUUUCAUGUUGUUUUUCGUCGUUUGAUUAUUUCAUGAUCAAAUAUUUCAUUGCCAGUCUGUUGCUAAAAAUUCUCAAUUUUUGUGACAAAAAAAUAUUUUUCUCAAUACGUUGCAAAUAUUUUUCUUUGGAAAUGAUUAAAUUUGUUGAUAAUUCUAUCGUCAUUACUUUUCUUCCAAUAUCUUUUUUAUUUGUAUUUUACAUACACCAUGUUGAAUCAUAUUAAAAACAUAUUAUAAAAUUCUUAAAAUAUCCAACAUUCAUACAAAAGAAUCCAUAUAUAUAGAUAGCAAAGUCUUCUUAAAAUAUCCAACAUUCAUAUAAAAGAACCCACAUAUAUAGAUAGCAAAAUCUAAAUAUCCACAAUACCAAAUAUAGAACCAUCUAAACAUAUAAUUAUGUCCAUCUUCAGCUAGACCAGGUACAACAGUUGAGAGUGGUUGUGGUUUUCAUUGGGGGUAUUCGUGCCAGUAAACUAAUUUUCUCACCCCAGGCCAGAGUUGUUCAUUAGGAGUAUCUAGCAACCUGCACUGCAAUUCUGUUAAGGUUAGAAUGUAGAAACCAAGUUGGAUAAUAGCAAUCUUGCUAUUGCACAACAACUCAUUGCAACAAAGAACAUGACAGAAGUAGAAAUUAGCAGAAACACUUCCCUUUUUGUUCAAAUCAGAAAUAUUUUGGACCGUCAAUUAUUGUGACAUCAUUUUUAUGGACGGACUUUCUAUAGAACCCGUUUUAUUAACAUGAUUUAUCACUACUUUAGCAACUUUGGCGACUUGGCCUAUGAAUCAACUAAGAUGAUCAAGAAAUCUUAAACUGUAAAUAUUUAGUAGCUUGCUGUUCAAAUAUAUUUUAGCUAGUUUACCACAUCUUUUGAUCAUAAAUCAUUUUUUGGAUUCAACAUAUUGCCAAGCAUAAAAGACUUACUAAUUCAACUUUGCGAGAAACUCCUCAUGCAAUUGUUAAAAAACAGAGGUGUCUACUUGACUAAGAGAAGAGGGCAUUAGACUGAUGCCUCCUGAGACCGAAGCAUUAAUAACCGUGUCCAUAUUUGGUACACUAGCAUCAGACAGUGGCUCACUUUUCAUAUCAGCAAAAAGUUUGUUAGGAUAAGAGACCACCUGAAUUUCUUCUUCAUUAAACUAAUGCUCCUAUUAUAGCCAUCAGAAAUCAACAUCAUCAACAAGAUAACCAUCACCACCAAUAUUAAACUAGGCCAAUUCAUUGACCACUAGGCCACACCCUUGGCUGCGGACUUAGAACUCUUUAAAAAGGUGUAUCAAGCAAUUACUCACGUGUGAAGUAGUAAAGAGCUGUGAAGCGAUUCUCUCAAACACAUCAAUGUUGUUUGUAGCCAUCGGCACCUACAAGUAGAACAAUAAAAUUAAAACCAGGAAGGAAAACAGAAAUUUCUUCAGUUAAAAAACAUAGAGCACAAGGUUAUCACCGAAAAUACUAUACCAAAAAUACUAUACCCUCCAUGCCCAUACGUUACUCCAGUUGUUAACCGAUAGGCCACCCACUGGCUUGGGAGAAACUCUGCUCACAAACUCUUACAUAUAUAAAACCACACCCCUUAAUACAAUUUGCAGUAACUUCCUGGUAGUAACAAACAUAAAAUGAAAAAGAAGAUCUCUGCAGCAAGAGAUUCAAUGAUUCAUGACGUCUUCUUGAAGGAAAAAAUGCAAAAUAGUGUUUGUUGUAUACAAACUAUAAAUAAAUAGAAAAUCAAAAUUGUGAGGGCAAUCAUGAACAUAUUGCAGAAAUAAAUAAAUAAUAAACAAUGAAAACCUUGGAGAUCAUACGCAGCUGCCCACAAGUUGUUCUUUGCCUCCUAUUCAACUUUUCUUCUAAGACGUGACCAAUUUCCGGAACUGCUUUUACUUGAAGUUCUUGUAUUUCAAUGAUACCAAGAAGGCAAAAAAAUACAACAAAAGGCACAAGUUGAAAAUUGUACUGGCUCGCUAUUGGUAAUGGAACAAUAUUCAUUUUUGUUACUCCUAUAACCUCAGGAUCACCAACAAAUAACAUAUAUAUUCAGCUUCUAAUAGACAAUUAGCCUAGUACAUUAAUGCAGAAGGCACAUAUGGAGAAUUCUAAAAGAAACACUUCUUUUGUUGAUGAAGAAAGGAAACAUUUAUUUUCAUAGUUACCAUGAAAUAUAAAACAAUUGAGUUGAUAUCAAGUUAAAACGUAAACCAAGACUAUUCCUAAGAGAGAAUUGUAUUUCAAAUGACUUAACAUAACUGUAUACGUUCAGAAAAAAUAUACUAAAUGCACUUUUGGCUAGAACCUGAAAUUAGAAUUUGACGGGGUGAGCUUAAAGCUUGAGAAGGCGCUCUCUCACUCCCAAUUACCUUACCUUCAAGAGUGGACGAUAUAACUUACAAGAGUUAAUGGAUGAAUAAAGAGUGGAAAGUUACAUGAAUUUCAAGGAAAAGAUGAUCAAAUUCAGCAAUAAAAAAACCAUGAGACAAAUGCACCUAAUGCCAAACAUCUACUGCAAUAUCAUGUCAAACUGUUAUUACAUUCUACCCAUCAAAUCCUAAGGGAUAUUAUGAGAAUCUGAAGUGCAUGCAAAAUCAAAUGAAAUUCAGGUACUGAAGAAAGAACUAAAAACAACAACAUUAAAAAAUAGCGAGUUGAGGACGAGAGCUAAGCAGGCGAUAAACAAAACUGAGGCAGCUGAAAAGAGUAAAGUUGCACUUCAGAAUUAGAUAAAGAGGUGGAAGGAACAUAAAAAGAGAGAAAGUUGCAUUGGCUGCACUUAGAGAAGAGACCAUUUCCAGAGAAAUUACUGAAUACAAACCUGAUAAUUCUCCCAAAAUAAAACAACCUCUUGGUAAGAUUCUCAGGAUUGGAACUACCACAACCACUUCACUGCUAAAGCAACACAAUAGAUGCCAAUGAAAACACAAAUUUAAAAAAUUAAACUAGUGUACAAUUUGAAAUAUGAUUGGCUAUAUUUGAUAAAUAGUUAUUUCUAUUAAUACCUAGAAAGCACUGGUUAGAAUAUUUAAUAGGUUGAUAAGAUGAACCAACAAAGCAACUUAUUGACGACAAACAAACCAGUAAAAGACAAGCAAUAUAAACACAAGAGGAGAUCACAAUGAUUUUUGAAUUGAGUGAAUAGUGUCAGAUAAGCUUACGAUCAGGAUCAAUGAAGUAAUUUAACUUGAUCAUACAAAGUGGUAAAAAGUGUUUGAACUAGUUUUGAACACGUAGUUGCCUAAAUAAAAUCUGGCGAAGUUUGGGUCGGGAGCACAAUCUAGUGCAACUACAUAGUGUCUAUUUAGCUAUUCUGAUUUUUUAAAAUUUAAAAAGGUAGAAUUGUUUUAUCUAGAAGAAUAAAAAUGCAAAACCUUUUCCAAAUAAUGUUCAUAAGAAAACCAUUGCUUAAAUAAAAAUAUAAAAUGGUUCAUUGUCUAACUUUUUAGCAAUUCUGGCAAGGGCAAAUUUAGUCAAUGCUCGUUCUAUCUCUUCUCUAACAACUCUCCAAAAAAUCGGUUCUAAGCAUGUGUAGAGAGGAAAUCUUAGUGAGCAUCUAAAUACAAUAACAACAACAAACCCAAUGUAUUCCCACAUAGUGGGGUUUGGAGAAGGUAAAAUAUACUCAGUCCAUCCCACUACCUCCGAAGAAGUAGAGAGGCCGUUUCCGAUAGACCCCCGGCUAAAGAUCAAAAUCAUAUUUAUAUAAACACACACACGCCUUAUAUAAUAACUUAUAUUAUUGGUGCACAAAAGUUCUCAUGAAACUUAGUUUUUAGGAAAUUAUCAAAUAAAAUGGACAAAGCUCCAGGUAGACUCCACAACAUGAUGAAGAUAUUAGAUCAACACAUAUACAACCUGAAUUUACAAGAUGAAAAUUGCCUUAAAUCUAAAGCUAAGAGUAUUUAUUAAAUCAUCUAAAAUCAAGUGAUUUCAAACCUGAAGCAGGUAAACUUGUUGAUCAGUUGGCUUUGAGGCUUUUCUCCAUGUUCCUGCUACUACUUCUCUAUCUUUAAGAUUCACUCUGAGCAUAGGACAAGACAUCCCUUAUAAUUGCUACUUCACUGACUCAUGCAUUAGUUUAAAGAAUUUAUCCAGCCCAGCCCCAAAACUCUGUAGGAAUCAGGACAACUGAUACUAACAGUACUCCAUCUUCAAAAGUGCGCCGAUAUUUCUACUUAGGUUUCAUGUGCCAGCUUACUUCCAGACAGCCACAUCAACAAUCACAGCCAACCAGACCAACCUGAAUGAGCAUCUAAAUGAAAACAAAAAAAAUAGAUUUUAUUUUCUGGUCUAUUAAUCUUAAUUUAUGCAGCACAUAAUCUACAAGUGGGGAAUGGGGAGGGUAGGACCCAAAAGGCUAACUAAAUGUUGAUGGCGAAACUUUGAAAGCAAAUUCAUUUGAAGUUUCAACCAGUGCAUCGUCUAUAAAUAGCCAAUUCCCUUACAACAACAUAAGUUUCAUUCUCUAAUUUUCCCUUGUAAAUUUGAUAUGGAAAGAUAUGUCAUACAAGUUGUUAGCUAAACCAAAUAGUCUAACUUUGAGCCCAAAAAAGAAUAAAGUUUGGGAUAGAAGGCUUGAAAAGAUGUCAACUCACUGCAUAUGCACUUUAAGUAAGCGAUUUAAGUGUCUCGCUUUAGUGAUAUUAAUUGUCAAAGUUCAAUAGAUAACAAAUCAAAAUAUGAAUUACUCCUAAUUGUAAUCAGCAUUAUAUGGUAUCAAAAUGCAAAGUCGAGAUGCAUAUAGCAUUUAUGCACAUAGACAAUACAUAAUAAAGGCAAAAAAAAUUAUUUAAUCAACUGCUUAUCUUGGUGAGUUGUGCAUCUAUUUAAUUGUCUGAUUUGAGUUAUUCAAUGAAAACUACCUGAAAAACUAAUUUGAUUGUGUUAAUUACUCACGGAGAUCAAGACCUCUAGAAAUACUAUGGCACCGCGUGGAUGAUAACAAAAUUAGCAACAAAAAGUUUAUCCUCUGAUAAAAUAUAACAUGAAUUUUGAAUAGAUAUAUGCAAGGAAACAAUAUACUAAGCCCUCUUCCUAAAUUAAUUUGGGAGUACAAACAGUUUCAGAGCAAUACUUUUCCAAUGGAGCCUUCACCGAGCAAUGUUGAUUUAUCAAAUUUUUCUAUCACUUCUUCCAACUCUUCCAUGGAGAACACCCGAUAUGAUGGAGCACCUUGAGAUCUAAGUGCUGAUUCUUGAGAAAUGAUUCUUGAGAUAAAAUAAGUUAAAGAAACUCUAAUCAAAUUUGCUGAAAACUUAAGUAAUUGUCUUAGAAACUUUUUUGCAGAAAAUCUGCCUAUUUAGAGUUGACAUUGAAAAUGAAGUUAAACUACAACUUACUAGCAUUUUCCAGGAGCUCAUCAGAAAUAUUGGGUUGUACAUUAUCUUGCACAACUUUGGGAAACAUGUACCAAUCCACAUUGUGACGCAUAUGUAUGCUGUGAUCUUCUAUAAAAGAAGAGAAGGACAACUGUCAAAAACACCACAAGUAGUACAGCUCCCCCAACAACACCUACCAUUUCAAGUUAAAAAAAACCACAAACAGAAAUUCUGAGAAAAAAUCCAAUUUCCAUUUCAAGUAAAUAACCAUUUAUCAAACGUUUUAACACAAUAAUCGAACAACCCUAAGUGAAAGAGCUCAAACAACCCUAAAGGUAUCAUUUACAAGUGAAAUCUAACAUAGAAAUUAAGAAAUUGAAAGAGUAAAAAAUAACUCACAUUACGAGAUUUAGAAUCGUACCUCUAACUUAGAUUCAAAAUUGAGUGAUUAAUUCUUUUUUCGAUUGAUAUUGAGCGAUUUUCUUUUCUCAAUUGAGAAACAGUGGAGAAAAAAGGAAAAGGAGAGGUUGUUUUUGGAGAGAGGCGAAGGAUACAAUGUGUUGGGAACAAAGUGAAAUAAAAAAUUUUGCCCUAAUAUUUAUUUGGUAGGGUGACGGAUUGAGCAACGGUUGCAAAAUUCGUUGCUAAUUAUUUAAAAAAAAUAAUAUAUUUUUUAAAAAUGGUAAAAUAAUUCUAGUGACAAAAAUUUUAUUGCUAUUUCCGUCUCCACCAUGUCAAAAAAUUCCCCUCCCCGCCCAUUUUAUGUCACUAAUUUUAUCAAUAAAAUAAAGGCGUCAAUAUUUACCUCCAAAAUAUAGCAACAGAUUAUACUUUUUGUCACUAAUGUAUCAUUAAUUAGGCUACUACUUUUAUUUUCAAUUAUUUAGCGACAAAAAACCUAUUUUGUUGCAAUUCCGUCGUUAAUUAGCGACGAAAAAGUGCUUGUUGCUACAAAUCCGUUGUUAAACUCGAUUUUUUUUGUAGUGAAUAUUGACCAUUGAUAAUGCAUUAUAUUGUAGUAAUUCUCAAAGAAACUUGUUAAGUUUCAAAGUUAUUCGCCAAAAUGGCUAUCACAUUGAGAUUGCAAAUGAAGAAAAGAUUGAAAAUCUUUAUAUUACUAUAAUAAAAGGUGGAGAAAAAUUUGUGCAUGAAAAAACACCUGCACUUUCUUCUGGAUUGUAUCAUACAAGUAUUUGUAUAGUUGAAUCACAUACCAUAGUAAAUAAAAGAUUUAUAGAUCGUAAUGAUUUUAUCAUUUGGCAUGACCGGUUGGGCCAACCCAAUAUUAAUAUGAUGCGCAGAAUUAUUGAGAAUUCACAUGGAUAUACAUUGAAGAAUCAAAAUAUUCUUCAAUCAAAUGAAUACUCUUGUACUGCUUGUUCUCAAGGAAAGUUGAUGAUUAAACUAUCAGUAGCUAAGGUUGGGAUUGAAUCUCCUGCAUUUCUAUAACGUAUACAGGGUGAUAUAUGUGGACCAAUUCACCCUUUGUAUGGACCUUUCAAAUAUCAUAUGCUUUUGAUAGAUGCAUCUACAAGAUGGUCACAUGUGCGCUUAUUAUCAACUCGCAAUAUGAAUUUUGCGAGAUUGUUAGCUCAAAUAAUAAGAUUAAGCGCACAAUUUUCAAAUUAUGCAAUAAAGACUAUUCGUCUUGAUAAUGCUGCUGAGUUGACAUCUUAGUCCUUUAAUGAUUAUUGUAUGUCAACUGAAAUAAUUGAAUAUUCGGUUGCUCAUGCUCACACUCAAAAUGGUCUAGCAGAAUCAUUGAUCAAACGUCUUCAAUUGAUAGCUAGGCUAAUGUUAAUAAGGACAAAACUUCAUGUUUCAACAUGGGGACAUGCUAUUUUGCAUGCAGCAACACUUGUGUGCAUAAGGCUAAUGAGUUAUCAUAAAUUCUCCCCAUUACAGUUGGUUUUUGGUCAAGAACCAAAUAUUUCCCAUCUUAGAAUUUUUGAAUGUGCGGUAUAUAUUUCAAUUGCUCCACCACAACGCACAAAGAUAGGACCCCAAAGAAGGUUGAGAAUAUAUGUUGAGUAUGGAUCUCCUUCCAUUAUAAAAUAUUUGGAACCUAUGACCGGAGAUUUAUUUACGGCAAGAUUUGUUGAUUGUCAUUUUGAUGAAUCAGUAAACCCAAUAUUAGGGGGGAAACAUAAGUAGCUGAAACAUGAGAUUGAUUGAAAUGCAUUAUCACUAUCUCAUUUGGAUCCUCAAACAAAUCAAUGUGAGCGAGAGGUUCAAAAGAUGAUUUACUUGCAAAAUGUUGCAAAUCAGCUACCGGAUGCAUUUACUAACCUUCCAAGGAUUACUAAAUCUUAUAUUCCAGCUUCAAAUGCUACAGUUCGAGUUGAUAUCCCGAUAGGACAAGUGGUCAAUGCAAAUGAGUCUAAACCACGUUUGAAAUGCGGUAGACCGAUUGAUUUCAAAGAUAAAAAUCCUCGAAAAAGAACAGAAAUAAAUGAUUAAAAUGAUCACGAUAUGAUGACAGUUGCUCAAAAAGAGCCUCAAUAUCUAACAAAUGAUAAGACCAUUGAGGAGGUUAAAAUACCUGAAAGUAAUGAGAAUAAAAAAAUCUCAAUAAGUUAUGUCUCGACGAGAAAUAGGUGGAAUCGAAAUAAUAUUGUGGUUGACAAUAUUUUUGCUUACAAUGUUGCUAUUGAAAUAAUACAACAAGAUGAGGAUUUGGAAUCAAAAUCUAUCAAUGAAUGUAGACAGAGAAAUGAUUGGACAAAAUAGAAGGAUAAAAUUCAAGCGGAAUUGACUUCACUUGAAAAACAUGAAGUUUUUGAACCUAUAGUUCGAACACCUGAAGGUGUCAAAGCCAGUGGAGUACAAAUGAAUUUUUGUGCGAAAGCGAAAUGAAAAGGAUAAAGUCGUAAGAUAUAAAGCAUGACUUAUGACACAAGGUUUCACAAAGGCCUGACAUUGACUAUGCGGAGACAUAUUCUCCUGUGGUAGAUGGAAUUACCUUCACAUAUAUAAUAAAUCUGGCAGUUCAUGAAAAGCUUGAUAUGCGUCUAAUGGAUGUUGUCACGACCUAUUUGUGUGGCUCAUUGGACAGCGAUAUUUUUAUGAAAACUCCAGAGGCCUUCAAAGUACCUAAAACAUAUAAAAAUUCUCAAGAAACUUGCUCAAUAAAGCUUCAAAAAUUCUUAUAUGGAUUGAAACAAUCAGGGCGGAUGUGGUAUAAUCUGUCUUAGCGAAUUUUUGCUAAAAGAAGGGUAUAAAAAUGAUCCUAUUUGCCCUUGUGUUUUUAUAAGAAGGUUUGGAUCUGAAUUUGCUAUAAUAGUUGUUUAUGUUGAUGACUUGAAUAUCAUUGGCACUCUCAAAGAGCUUUCAAAAGUUGUUGAGUGUUUGAAGAAAGAAUUUGAAAUGAAAGAUUCGGGAAAGACAAAAUUUUAUCUCGGCUUGCAGAUUGAUCAUUUGACAAAUGAAUUUUUUGUCCAUCAAUCAACAUACAUUGAAAAGAUUUUAAAGCGAUUUUACAUGGAUAAAUCACAUCCAUUGAGUACUCCAAUGGUUGUGAGAUAGCUUGAAAUAAACAAAAAUCCAUUUCGACCUCAAGAAAAUGAUGAAAAACUUCUUGGUGAUGAAACUUCAUAUCUUAGUAAAAUCGGGGCACUAAUGUAUCUUGCCAAUAAUACUCGACCAGAUAUUUAUUUUGCGGUAAAUUUAUUGGCAAGACUCAUCUCUUCCCCAACUAAAAGACAUUGGAAUGGUGUCAAACAUAUACUCAGAUAUCUUCGGGGAACCAUUGACUUGAGAUUAUUUUAUUCAAAUGAAUCCAAGUCAGAAAUGAUUGGUUACGUAGAUACAGGAUACUUAUCUGAUCCACAUAAGGCUCGGUCUCAGACGGGUUAUUUAUUUACAUAUGGUGGCACAGCUAUAUCAUGGCGUUCAAUGAAGCAAAUAUUAGCUGCAACUUCUUCAAAUCAUGCAGAAAUCAUUGUCAUUGAUGAAGUGAGUCGGGAGUGUGUUUGGUUGAGAUCAAUGACUCAAAAAAUUCAAAUAAUGUGCGAAUUUUCUUUGAAUAAGGAUAUUCCAACUACAUUGUAUGAUGAUAAUGUUGCAUGUAUAGCUCAGUUGAAGGGAGGUUACAUUAAAUGAGACAGAACAAAACACAUUUCACCAAAAAAAAAAAUCACUCAUGAUCUUGAGAAGAAAGGUGAAAUAGAUGUUCAAAUUCGUUCAAGCGAUAAUCUAGUAGAUAUGUUCACUAAAGCAUUGCCAACAUCAACCUUUGAGAAGUUGAAAUACAAGAUUAAGAUGCGUCGUCUCCUAGAUAUUAAGUGAUGUUUUUAUCAGGGGGAAUACAUACGCGCUGCACCUUUUUUUCCUUAACCAAGAUUUUAUUCCACUGAGUUUUCCUGAUAAGGUUUUUAAUGAGGCAGCAAACAAAGCGUAUUACAAACCACUAUUACAUCUUAUUUCCUUUAGAAUUUCUCUUUUACAUGAACAUCCAAGGGGAAGUAUUGUAAAUAAGUUAUUGGUGGAUGUUCACAUACUAUACAUGCUUCACAUACUACACAUAUUACACAUACUAUUGUAGCAUGUAAAGAAGCCAUUUCUUUUGUGAAUGUAUUUUCACAUACUAAAUAUAUUACACAUACUCUUGCCUAUAAAAGGUAUUGUAUGCUACAUUGUAACACACAUCAAAGUAGUAGAAAAUAAAAUUCUCUCAUAUCAAUAGGUCUCUCUCCCCUCUCCUUUUGUUUUGGUAUAUUUUAGAAUAUUUAUUUACAAAAAAUAUUCUAACCUUUCAUACUUGAAUUGGGACAGAGUAUGUAUAUGGUUAACACGCGAUACAAAAUUUUCUAUUUUUGACGCUACAAUUAGAUUACAUUUUACGGGUAAAUAAAUGGGAACCACGUAUCUUUUUGGCUUUAGCUUCUGAAAAUUAUAAAAUUGCGUGAUGGCAAUUUAAAUUUUAAAUUGACCAAUUAUGUGUGGUAUAACUUAAAAUAUUUUGAAUGUCCGCUUAUUCUUGAUUGAAGGACAAUAACGGGUGGUUUGUUACCCCCAAAUAAGAUAAGUAGAGAGAUUUUAUAAGAUUAUUUUAUUCACUUUCUAUAAUUCUACUAUCUUAGUACAAAUUGUGAAAUAAAACUUUCUUGAAAGAGUUCAUGCCUCACAUCAAACAAAUAAAAUUUUAUCGUCAGAUAAUUAUUUAUAUUCUACUUAUCACACGAACCAUUGGAUUAUAUUUGGCUAACUAGGCAAAGUUCGUUGAAUUGCAAAAUUUGACACUCCUUCUCUUUGACGUAUGACAACGAUUGGAACACUUUUCAUUAGGAGUUCCCUUCAUUUUAUUCUGUCUUAAUCUUAAACUAAAAAUGAGAAAAAUCAUGUGAAAGGCCAAAAUGAAUUUUGUUUCUUAAUUGAUGCGUUGGAAAGUUCAAGGGGACGCUAGAAGGACCAUAUAUUUCCACCCAAAUUGAAGGAAUUUCUGCCAAGUGUGUCACCACAAGGACCUUUUCUUAUCUUUUUCUUAGUCAAUUGAAGGGGUAGAAAGCUCAAAAAAUCUUGCCCACAUAGGACCGUUAGCCAAAAAAGCAAGCUAAUUUAGGGAAUUUAGGGAUGUGUAAAAAUCAAAUCGAUCAAUAAAUUAAAUUAAUAAAAAUCUUAUUAAUUUAUUAUUAUUGGAUUAUUGAAUUAACAGUUUUUUAAAUAGGUUUAUAAAAAAAUUAUUGAAUUAUUGGUUCGGUUUGAUUUUUUCUUACUGGGUUAUUAAAUAAAUCAAUAAUCCAAUAAGACUAUACUAUAUUAUUAUUUUACACCUAUAUAUUUUUUUUUUCUUUGAAUUUCUCCUAACUAAUAUUUAAUUCAAACUUGACGAUUCUUGUAAAUUAAAACAAAUUACGUAGGAUUUUGAUUGUUACUAAUAUUCGAGUUUUUUUCAUGUUAAUUACUAUUUUUUCUAUUUUAUGAGUUAAAUCAAAAAUUAAAUUAUUAAGGAUUAACAAUCGAUAAAUUAAAAGCUGAUAAAAAUAUUUUAUUGAUUUAACAAUUUUAAAAUUAAAAAUCGAUAAAUCAAAUCUAUAAUAGAUAAAAUCAAAUUGAAUCACGUGCAAAUGCGACCUUUAAGGAGUGGACCGGCAGUUAUAAUUGGCGGCUCUAGCUUGUCUUUUCUUAAUUAUGCAUUAGUUUUGACAUUUUGAUUAUUAGAUUGUUUUUACAAUGUUUUUACUUUUCAAUAUCAUGUGGGAUGACAAAUACAAUAUAACCCGAAAAAAGAAAAAAAAGAAAGGGCCAGUGGUCAGAAAUACAAAGCCUGAUAACUUGGUACACGUCUAGAUCACUAUUGCAUAUUCACUAUAAUAUUAAAUAAAUAUUUCUUUUACUUAUCAUUAUAUUAAAAAAAAAUAGUAUUCAUUUUUAUUAUUUAAUUUUAAAAAUUUAAAAAUAAUUUAUUUUUUAUUUAUCAACUAUGGUCAUUGCCCAAUAUAUUUUCAAAGCAUUCAAUUAAAUAUAUUUUAAAAUAAUAUAAUAAAUAAAUUAUUUUAUUAAUUAUUUUUUAAGAAAUAUAUUAAAUCAAACAUAAACAAAUAAAAAUAGAACUUACUAUUACGAUCAUAUAAAUAGUAAAUGUGGAGUACAAUAGACAUAGUAAUAAACAAGUUCCCUAUUCUAGAAUGCUCAUUUCCUCGUGACCCCUGCUCUAAGUUGACUUUUAUUAUGCACUGUUUAGAAGGGGGAAAGGGCAUCAGGUUUCAAACUAGAGAAAAAUUAUAAAGUUUUUUUUUUUCCUAAUAAUUCACUAAUUAAGCAGGGAAAGUACGAAAAUUCAAACUAAUGACGCAAUUGACUAUUGAUAAAUGGAUUAUUUACUCUCACCAGACCUUUUUCCUUUUGUUUCUCUGUUUCUGUUCAUCAGUUUAUAUUUUAUACUUCGUCUCUCGAUCUCAUUUUAUGUAUCGCUAUUUAAUUCAAUAUGAAGUUUAAGAAAUAAAUGACGACUUUGUGACGAUUACAAAAUUGUUCCUCUUAAAGUUUACUUUUUAAUUUUCUUUUCUUAUAAAGUGGGAUUCACUAAAGAUAAAAUGAGAAUGAUGGCAUUAAAUAGUUAUCAGAUAAGAAAAGAUGACAUUCUUUUUGGACGGAUCAAAAAGGAAAUGACGAUAUAUGAAAUGGGACGGGAAAGUACUAUACUAUCAUGCUUAAUGAAAAAAGAAUAUCUUGGUGUAUAAUAAAAGAUUAAAUAAUUGAUAUCUUAAUCUGCAUGAUCUCCAAUGUUGUUCUUGAGUUGGUCCUUAUAAAUUUUCCAGUAUUUCGUUCGUAACUUCAUAUAUUCAUAAUGAUAAGAGAAGAAACGAUUAGGGAAUGAACAUAUAAUGGCGACACUACGUAUGAAUCAUUAGAGUCAUGAAUUAACUUGUAACAAUUGUUACCAUUUCGCUCCAAUAUCUUCCACAUUUGCCUAAUUCAAAGAAUUUUACUUUUAUAUGUAGGUAAAUCCUAUUUAUUUAUUCUAACUUUCUUCAAUAUAUACGUGGAUCCCGUAUUUUAAUUUCAAGUUUUCAACUAAGGUCUUUUUUUUGUUGCACACUUUAAUCAUAGUACUAAUAUCAUGUACUAUAAUUUAGGCAUAAUACCUAACAUCAUCUUUAAAUUGACCUCAAAUUGCAUCUAUGACAUUUAAUUUUUGAUUUAUCUAAGUAGACAUUUAAACUUGUACUCCGUCCGUAUUAUUUAAUGUGACAUACUUUGGCAUAGUAAUUAAGUAGAGCUGUCAAUACGGGUCGGUCCAGCCCAUCCGGGCUAGCCCACACGGGCUUUGAGUUUGACCGGCCAGACCGGGCUGGCACAUCAAAAUGAUGGACCAAAAAACACCAAGCCUACACCAUUACUCUGUGGGUUGCGGGCUUCACGGGUCAGUCCACUUUUUAAAAAAUAAUAUUUUAUAAUUUAAUUUUAGAAUAUUAAUAAACAUAAAUAUUAUCAGAUAAUAUUACAUAGUGUUAAUAAUUGUUUAUCAAGUUUCCAACACCCCCAAAAAAUACUCCUAACAGCGAAAUUAAAUAACUUUUGACAUGAUAUCCUUUGAACCAAAUAAAAAUACUAAUGGACAAUCUAAAUAGUUGCAUGUAUUUGACUUACGGACCGGCUCAUGAGCUAGCCCAACUCAUAUUGCUCAAGCCCUACGGGCCACCGGCUUAUAGAGGCCGGACUAAAAAACCCUGUUCUUAAAUGGGCUGCAAAAAUUGAAGCCCAACUCCAUCAAAUUACAGGCCAGGUCGGGUCGGCCCUACGGGCCUAACCCAUAUUGACGGCUCUAUAAUAAAGAUAAAAGAGGAAGACUUUUGAAACUUGUGGUCUGAAAUGAUCUUUGAUACUUGUGUGGUUGUAUAAAUUAUUUCACUAAGUAUAAAAAUUAUACUAGUUUAAAGUUAAUUUUUUUCUAAUUAUAGUAACAAGACUUCUUUUUGGGAUGGGCUAAAAAGAAAAGUAUGUCACAAAAAAUGAUACAGAGGAAGUAUAAAGUUGAACAAAUAGUCACACGCGUCCUACAUAGCAUAAGACACUUAAAGACGCCAUGUAGGAUACGAAUUGAUCAUGUAAGAUGCCACAUAGAACAUAUGUGUCUACUUAUUCAACUUUAUACAAGUUUGAAUGUCUACUUGUGCAUACCUCAAAUUGUAGAUGAAAAUAAAGCCAAGUUGAAAGACAUGUUUAUGUAUUAUGCUUAUAAGUUAAAAUUAUGGCAGUUUAAUGUUAUUUGUUUCUAAAAAUAUUUGGCUCUCGAAAAUUUAAUUCAUAUCAUAUACAUUGAGACAAAUAAAGUAACAUAUAUCAUCUAAAAAUUAUGUAAAAAAUAUAAUACAUCACAAUAAUUGACAACUCAAAUAUGUAAAAAACUUAUAACAAAUUUGAUUAAUUCUCAUAAUUCAAUUUGUACUGUAUAGAUAGAAACAAAGUGCAGAUUACAUCGUUAGAGUACUAUAUAUCACAAUAAUUAACAAUUUAAAAUAUCUCUAUAUAUAUAUUUAUCUUUUGUUGGCUUUUUGAAAAGAUAACAUAUAUUAUGUAAAAUUUAAAUAAAUUAACAAUUUAAAAUAAUAUUUGAUUUUUAAAUUGUAUCUCUAUCACAUAAAUUUAAACAUAUAUUGAGCCAUGCCUAGCUCAACAUAUAUGACAUAUGAUAUGUAUACUAAUAUUUAGUAGUAUUAACUAAUGCUCAUGGCCACAUGAUACAUCUGCUCCAAGUCGUUGACUUUCUUUGAUUACAUGUUUUGUAAGGGAGUAUGACGAUAGAAGGGCGGUGGAUCAAAGUUGAGAAAAUGAAAGGACUCUUUUUAAUUAACAAAUCAAUAAGGAAAAAUGGAUAAUAUCUCACAUUUCAUUUAUCUAAUAGUAAUUCCCAUCACACCAUCCCAUGUUCAUCCAGGCAAAGGCAGCAACCACCGGCUUGGUGUAUUAUUGUUAUCAGCCUUAAUUUGAACCCAUCUUGCACUAUCAUUUUGCAUAAUUAAGAGAAGAAACAAGACAUAACAACAAUUUAAUUGUAAAAUUUACAUGAUUACAUGGACAACUUGACAAGAAUAUAUAUGUCAUCGUGGUCAUAUAUAUCACAUCCAAAUUAUUAAGGAACUGUAAAAUCACACGAUGAUAUGAAUUCCUAUUAUUAUCAACGAGAUCUUCCAUACCAGAAAAUCUAAAAUCAAGCUGUCUCAUCAUAUAUAAUUACCAAAUUUCUUUAGUCAAUAUAAUUCACUGCCUUGCUGGAGUUGAAGGAACUGAAGAGGUCUGCAACACAUCACGAAAACCUCCCUCUCUAACAUACUGAAUGUACCUUGAGAAUUCAGGCCUAGCAGUUGCCUUCUUCUUCCUCUUUGUUUCGAAUAAACUGAAUAUUGGAUGAAUCUUGCUCGCUUUCUUCGCUUCCUUUUUCACCUGAGGACUCAUAGGGAAAUUAUGCUCCGGUGCUGUCGCCUUCCUCGAUGGACUAAAAAUUUUAGAUAUGGGAACACUUCUGUUUCGGAUCAAUUUUGGCUCUACGAAUGGAGUUGAUGCUGCCUCUUCUUUAAUCAAUUCAUCGUAUCCUCGAUAGUCUCUUCGUGUGCUAAGUGCUCUAAACAUGGCUAAGAUAAAUAUAAUGAACUUACAAAAAGAAAGAGAGCAAGAAGAGAAAGAAACUCCCAGAUCUAUUGAACUAGCUAGGCUUAAUAAAAAUGAGAAAACUAUAGGAGAAAAAAUAUUAGUCCUGUAGGAGAAAUAUGCUAGUGUAACAAGGAAGUAUUAAAGAGUUUGGUUGGCUAGAAUGGGGAUGGGGAGUUAUUUAUUUAAUUGCUAUUAGUUGAGGUGUUCUGACAAAAAUAUGAACUGUGGCCUUAUUUUUCAAAAAUUGCAUACGCCCCGUAUAUGAAAUGUGAGGGUUGAAAUUUCGUUUUUUC